Molecule: long non-coding RNA, 53967 nt
Filed under: Coffea arabica (coffee)
Lineage: Eukaryota; Viridiplantae; Streptophyta; Magnoliopsida; Gentianales; Rubiaceae
Description: long non-coding RNA (CARA_LNC003515)
Source: RNAcentral
ACGCAGAGAGAUAGAGAGAGAGAGAGGCCACCUCAAAUAUCUAAAACUUCUCGUUGAUGAUAUUCAAGACAUAGUGGAAGCAGCUAGAAGAGAGCAGUAAAAGUAAUUUUCAAUUACUUAUCCAUAACUAGGACACUAAAGUAGGGCAAAUGACCCUACCAUAAUGAGCUCAAAAUCACAAUGAUGGAAAAUCUAAACAGAGUUGAAUAAGGAACAUGUAUACAAUUGGAUGCUAAGGGUUAUAUAGAUUUACUUAUUUCAGGGUCUGGUUGUAAAAUUUACAGCUUUAGAUACUUAAAAAUUUGCUAUAACCUAGGGAAUCUGAAAAUCCUUUUUGGGUUUCCUCCAGAAAUUUCACCUUUUGGCUUUUCACUAGCUCAGCCUAAGUUACGUGUCUGGGAGUUUUGAUAUCUUUUAGUUCAUUUGUAGCUUACACGGUUCAGUUCUUCCUGUCAACAGAUUUUUCUGGUUCUAGACUGCCACCAUACGCUGCUCAGUUUUCAGUAAAAUCUUUAAUUAAUAGUAGUUUAUAGUGUGCCCAAGCUUAAUAUCAUCCAAUCGCCUAUCCUUUGGAGGGCAGAAAGAACACCCAACAUAGAACUGAAGAAAUUUUCCUCCAUCAUUUUUGAUUGGCCAUGUACCUUUUACACGGUUCAAGAAAACAGCCUGCCAUAACAGGUGAAAUAUCACCAAUUACCAAAUUCCUUGAAAUAUCCAUUUUUUGCUUUCACGUGUGUGCUUUGUCUCGAGACUUUUAAUUCCGAGGUUUAUACAAAAGUCACAGAUAUUAAUGCAUUAACUAGAUGUCCAGUUAACUACACCUCCAGUUAAAAUGGACAAUUGCAAACAGGAUGGAGUAAUUAUCCUGAAACCUUGACAAAUGAAUAUUGUGGCACCAGCCUUAAAUGUCUUAAGGUAAGAAUCCAUCAGAUGUCAUGAAAACACGGCCUUUUAUCAAUGGUUGUUAAAAGGUUUAAAAAGUAUCUGAUUUAAAGCAAAUAGACUCUCCAAUGCUGAAAGCGCCCUACAUCUCAACUUCUCAUAUAACAGAAAUAAAGAAACCACACAAGCAGAAUUGUUUCAGUUGAUGCAUAUUUGAAUAUUUUUCAGUGGCAUUAUGAUGUGAUACAUGUAAGCCUAUUUUAGUGACAUGCACUUUAUCUACAGAGAGUUUAUGAGCAUUUGCUACUCAAGUAUCUUAUAUUCUGAGCCAUAUCUAUAGUUUAGGCCAACAGGAAAGUAAAACAAAAGCUUAUGGAACACAGUGCAAUGGUGUUUGCUAUACAUGACAGCAGACAUGCCAGUAUAUCAAGAGUAAUUGUUUAAGUUCAUGCAAGAGAAAGUGACAUUUACAGACCUUCGUUUGCUUGCAAAAUUCAGGAAGAGACCACCAAGUCUCAUCAACCACCACGUCUGGAGUACGAGGCUUGCCGUUGAAGGCAACUGCAGCUAUAGAGGAUGUUAAACCACUCUUUUAACAGAUGGAGAUUUUGCACAUGAUCCCAGAACAUUAAGAGUCCCUUUUAGAGCAGGAUCAAUCAAUUCAGCCUGUCAACAAAGAAUUCCUUAUGGUGACUCACAGCCAUAACAAAUCACUCACCUUGCUAAGAUGAAGUAAUAGAAAACCCAUUAGCAGAGAUAUUUAAAUUUAAAAAAAAAACUAACUUCAAUUUCAAGGAAUAGUGCUAAUUUGAUACUUAAUUCAUUAACCAUGCAAUAAGUCAAGAGGACAAAGGGCUCAUUAACCAUGCAAUAAGUCAAGAGGACAAAAGGCUCAACAGUAAGUGAGGCUCCUUUAGCAAAUAUACCCUGCUUCUAUCAGGGUUUAAGAAAGAUUUGCACCAGUUAAAACAAUUAUUCGUCUACUUUUAGGUCGGACAAUGGUUUCACAUAACUUAAAAUAAGGACUACUAAUAAAGUUAAUACAAGCAACACGGUGUUUACUUUUGAGUCCACAUAUAUGAAUUGGUCAACAGACAUUUUGCAGACAUCAAAUAUUGGUUUUCACCUCAAAGUCAUCACCUACAGAGUUGACAUACUGAAGGAAAACUCAAGACAAAGACAUUUAAAAUUAGCUUCUGCCAAAAUGAAGCUCUUCAAGCAUACUUGUAUGUCUGAUAUUAACAUUUCCUUAGCAUGGCACUUCUAUUUAUUUGCAUUUUGGCCCUUCUUGAGGUAUCUAUUAGCUUUCAAAAAAUACAAGAGCCCUGAAGCUACAAUUUAACUGCCAGCCCAGCAAUACCCAUUCGGUAACAAGUUCCAAGCCUAAGUUCAUACUUACUACGAAUUAGUUCAAAGAAAAAUUCCUCUUAAAAGAAUACAGCAGACAUGCUUUCAAUCCUUAGUCAAAUAAGGGACGAUCUGAACAUAGGGCUGAACAUGAUUUGAAAGCAAACUCAAUGAAUAGAAAGAGUCAACAGUACAACAGACAGCACUGAAGUGUUGCCUACAUGACAUGGAAAAACAUUGCUAAUUGACUGAAGUCAGCAAGGGAAGGCUCUGAAAGACUAUCUGGGGUAUCCUGUGGUUAUGGUACAAAUGAGUCCAAUCAAGGGAAGGGAGAGAGAGAGAUCACCCAAUGCAUAGAACCUGUACCCUUAGAACAUCAAGGCAGCACACUAAGCAGUUCAUGGAACUACCCACCACCUCUUUUUUAGCUUCCCUCAAAUAGCUUGAGCAUCUUUGAGAUCGACAAUCAUACAUUUCUCAACGACGCAUCAACUGUUACUUAUUUCUUGUUUUAAAUAGACAGACAGAACAAAUUAGGGCCAUAGACAUGCAUUAGUUUGGUGAAGCAAGGAACCAUAUCGAGUAUCUUCUUUUGUAAGAUAAGUAGGAUGCUCUUUUCUCUUUUCCUAAAUGUUGAAAAGGAGAUUGAUGACAACAGUUAGCACCAUCUAACCAGCUGCCCAAAAAAAAAAAAAAGGAUGGCUUCAAAAAAAAGUUAUUUACCUAAAAGCAGAGAACACAAUAUUGAAACUAUACUGAAAAGGGUGCAACAAAUGAGUAAUUUCAAAUGUGCAUACAGAAAAAGAGAGAAGAUUUUCGAAAAACUGCACAAAUGUAAAAGAUAACAAGAAAAAGCACUGAAGUAGCAUACAUUUGACCAAAUUUUUGUCACUGAAGAAUUUAUUAGACUUUAGAGUCAUCAUUCCUGAACCCUCAUAAGUCAAAUUCUGGAAUUCUAACACUAAAUGAGCAACCCUCACAGAUUGACAAGAUUGCCUGCUCGGAUUAAUCAUGUCAGAAAACAUAACCUACUCAAUAUUCACAAAUUGUAUGUCCCUUCCUGGUCAGAGUGUUAAUAUCCAAACUCCCAGCAGAACAAACCUCAGAUGUUCUCAAAAUUGAUAUUUUGAAUCCUAGCAGCCAGCAAUUUUAAAUUCAGUAUUGAGCUUCUGAGGGCAUCUAAUGAGUGAAGAACUCAGUCCCAAGCUUCUUUCUAGAAAAGCUAAUGUCUUUAUACUAAGAUUUUAUACUUCAUACUCAACUACAACUGGCUAUCUUCCUUGGUAUUGAGCUUCUGCUGGUGUCUGAUGAUUAAAGACCUUAGUCCCAGUCUUUUUUGUGGAAAAAGUAACUUCAAUAAACCAAGAUUUUCUACUUCAUAUCCAACUACAACCGGGAAUUUUCUUGAGUCCUUUCUCCCUAAUUUUGAGCCUCAAAAGUGAAACAUCCAACCAUUUAUUUGCAGCAGCAUAGAUGUCUGAUAACAACACAUAAUUCCCAGCAUUUAAGGGCUCAAGCUCAAUUAGUCUACAUGCUACCUCCUCCCCCAAUUCAAGGUCACAAUGAAGCUUGCAAGCGCCAAGAAGUGCACCCCAAGCACCAGCAUGAGGCUUUACGGGCAUUGACUUAAGAAUGUCGUAAGCAUCUUUAAGCUUUCCUGAUCGACCAAGAAGGUCAAUGAGGCAUGCAUACUGAUCCGGAGAAGGCUCAAGAGAGAAUUCAUUAACCAUAGAGUCAAAAUAAUGGCAACCUUCCUUAAUGAGACCAGCAUGACUGCAAGCUGUUAGAAUUACCGUAAAGGCUGUAGUAUCAGGCACAAGUCCUUCCUUUAGCAUCCUUUCAAACAGUGCCACAGCCUGUGGACCACUCCCAUGAAUGGAUAGACCCUGUAUCAUUGAGCAGUAUGAGAUCACAUCAUGCGUGGGCAUUUGCUCAAACAAGGUUGAUGCUCUGUCCAUGUUCCCACACUUGGCAUUCAUAUCUAUGAGAGCUGCAGCAACUUGAACACGCUUGAGAUCAAAUGAGCUUUGAUGCAUAUAAGAAUCAAUUAUUUUUGCUAAUUCCAAACAACCCAAUUGGGAACAAGCAGACAUCAAGCUCACCAUAGUGAACUCAUCCGAUUUGACGCUCCUACACUGCAUCCUGUAAAACAUCUGUAUCGCCUCGCUGGGCUGUCCAUUCUGGGCAUACCCGGAUAUCAAGGCAGACCAGGAUACAAUAUCUUUUUCAUCUGAUUGCUCGAAUAACAUUCUUGCAGACACCAUGGCACCGGCCUUGGCAUACCCAUUAAUCAUAGUGGUAUAGGAAAUUGCAUUCUUCACGGGCAUCUCAUUGAAUAAUUCCCUAGCACUCCUCAAAUCACUGAAUCUAACAAAGCCACUAAUCAUCGCAUUCCAGGAUGCUAAAUUCCUAUUAGUCAUUUUAUCAAACAAGUUCUUCGCCUCCAAUGCCUCUCCGACAUUCAGAUAGCCAACAAGCAUAGCCGUCCAAGAGACUUCGUUUCUAACGGGCAUAAUAUCAAACAUCUUCCGGGAGCACUCGAUCUCCUUGCACUUGCCAUAGAAGUCAACUAAGCUGGAACCCACGUACACAUCAGUUUCAAUACCACACCUUACUAUUGACCCGUGGAGAAUCCGCCCUUCCCUCAAUGCCAAAACAUUAGCACACUUGUUGAUCAACGGCGGGAAAGUAUACUUAUCCGGGCUUGCAUUCGUAGACUUUUUCAUCCGAUUGAAAAGCGAAAAUGAAUUGACCAAAGAGGAAUGUCUACAGUAGCCCUUGAGUAGGGUGUUCCAAAGAUAAAUAUUAGGCUGAAUGGCGCGUUCGAAAACAGCGGUAGGGUAGGAGAGGUCAGAAGAGAGAGCGAUGCAGAGGGACAGAAAUUGGGUAAUCAAAAAGGGAUCCUGCUCGCAGCCCUUGUGGAUGAUGUGAGGGUGGACUUGCUCUAAGCUUCGGAUGGUCUUGCACCGUUUUAAAAGUGAUAAGAUUGAUGCCGUAUAAGCAGAUGAUAAUGUUGAUGGUAAGGGGUCGAGACAAGCGGAUGAGUAUCGGCGGAUCAAAUUCAUAUGAGCAUCGGUUGUGACUUUGUGAAUCAUAGUGGCGGAACAGCCGAGCAGACAGUGCUGGAGCUGCAGUGUCAGGAUCCUGAUGGACCAGUUUUGGAAUUGGGAGGGAAAUUAGAAAAGUAGAAGAAGAAGAUUCAGAGAAUUGCAAUGUUUUAAAACCCGGACCGUCAAUUGAACCUGUGAAGUGAAAGGGUCGAGGUUCAACCGGUCGGACCGGUUCAACCCCAGUUCAAUAAAUAAAUAAACAAAUAAAUAUAUAUAUAUAUAUAUAUAUAUAUAUAGACACACACCUAUGCACAGAACAAGAUAUAAAUGCUAAACCACAAUUAACAUAAGAGCAAUAUCAAACAAUUAACACACACACAAUUAACAUAGUUAUCAAACUUAAGACUAUUCGUUUGUGGUUUUUACUCCUGCAAUGCAACCGAAGUAAAUAUCUUCUGUUUGUGGUUUUGUUCUUGAUAAUCUACACACGUAUUGAAAAUACUCCUAUUUACUUGUUUGUCCUUGAAAGAAUUUUUGACAAUUUUCUCAAAGAUAAGCUAAAAAAGAAAGCAAAUAGCCAUCUGUCCCAUGUUUCUUUGGUUUAAGACUUGCAUCCGUUUUUGGGUGUGUUGGCUUCAAAUGACAUCAGAAAAAGGAUACCCCUUUUUGAAAAAACUAGCAGAAGAGCACCGUGCGCAAUUUAAGUGAUGCGCACAAUGAGUUGAUAUUCAUGUAAUUUAUGGAUUUUUGUGUUUUGUAUAAUUAGGGGUGCAAACGAGCCGAACCGAGUCAAACAUUGAACUUAUCGAGUCAGGCUUGAUUACUGUACACGAGCUCGAGAAAAUUGAGCUCGAGCUCGACUCGAAUAAGUAAGAAGCUGGCUCAAGUUCGACUCAAUAAGGCUUGAUUUACUCAACUCAACAAGAGCUCAAAUUGGCUCGAAAAUUUCUGUCACUAAGCACAUAAUUUUUAAACGCAAUCCAUCCAGCUUGCAUUUUCUAACAGGACAAGCUAAAAAUUACCCCAGAAUGAGAAAAUAAAAAGUGAACAAUCAAAAACUACAAACCAAAAAUAUUUCAAUCAAACAGAAGGUAUAUUCCAUGAAAAUGUAUGUAAGAAGUUAAGAAAAGAAACCCAAUAUUCUUACCAAUCUUCAAAAAACAGUCCCUAAUAAUAAUAACAGAUCCAAAUUCAAAAAAAAAAGGAGAAAAAGUACAUUGACAGAAAGCCUUCUUCCAAUCAAUAAUCAGUACAAUCUCAAUUCACCGAUCAUGAUAUAGAAAACAAUUCAAUACAUGCGAAAGUCCAAAUAAAUUCUAAAUAAAUUGAGAGAAAUUGGGGAUCGAAAUGGGAAAGAAGAGGCGAUCUAAUUCUAACGAAAGCUCUGUCGCCAUUAACAGGAAAGAGGAAAUUAAUCAGGGAAGAAGAGAAAGGGCAACCUGUUCGCUUUGCCUGUUCGCGAGGCCCUCCACCAAUAGAGCUGAUGAAAUGGGCGUUGGAGAGGGCGGCAGUGGUGGGAGUCGGAGAUUGUUCGCUUUGCCUACCGUAGCUUCUAACUGGGAGUCGGAGAGAAAUGGCGGCAGUGGUGGCAGAAGUGGCCAACAAACUGGGAGUCGGAAAGAAAGGGCUCUUCAAUUGAAGGCCGGCAGUGGUGGUGGCAGAAGUGGCUUGAGCCUUGAAGACAGUGGUAGCGGCGGCUACGGCUUGCUUUUGAUUUGGGGAAAGAAGAAUGCCGACAGCAGAAUAGCCGAGUGGGAAGAAGGAGAUGUGUUUGUGACUUUGGGUCCACCGUCCUCCACUGUCUUGGUCCUUGGAGAAAUUUUGUUAUCUAGUUUCUAAUUAGUAAUUAGUUAUAUAAGUAGAGAUAUUUAUGUAAUUUCCUACUGCUCGUGAGCCGCUCGGACUUUCAUACACAUGACUCGAACUCGACUCGUGUUAUAAACGAGCUGCUCGAGCUCGACUCGAACGUUGACCGAGCUGCUCGCGCGAGCAGAUCAAUUCGUUUGUAUCCCUAUGUAUAAUGAAUGCAACUAAGGUGAUAUAAUUAUUAAAUAUAUAAUAAAUAGGGUUUCAAAUCUUUAGGGCUAAUACAUGGAACUACGGCGGUAUAGUACUAUAGUGUCAUAAUAAAAAAGAGUGAAUGGCAUAGUAAUGGAUAAGAAGGAGUUUCAUUAAAAAGGAUGCAAAUUUCAUCUGUGCGGAUAUUAUUUUUUGGAUGGAGAUACUUAUUAAAUCAUUUGUUGAAAUGAGGUAUAAAAAUUGGAUUAGUUAUUUUGUAAUAUAUAUUUGGAUUUACUAAUAUGCGUAUUUGGUUAUGCCUAUAUGUAUAUUGUGUGGGUCAGAAUAAUUGGAUAUUUGAUUUAUAUUUAAUUUCUAAAUUUUGUUUGAAAGAACUAUAAGGGAAGAACUAAAUUUACACACUUAUAUACUAAAUCCACAUUCUAUCGGCUUAUUAUAUAAAGACUUUUAAAGUAUUUAAUUAGUUGUUCACAUAACAGAAAGAAGAAUAGUAUUAUGUUUUCUUGCAUCGGGAUACUCAGUUCAUGCGCGCAUCAAUAGCUACUAAUUAGUAACUACUUUAAAAAAAAGAAAACUUUGGGUAAAAAAAGAGAAUAAAAGAAGGGAAAAAAAGGGAAGAAGGGAAAAAAAGGGAAAGGAUACUCUAUUAUAAUAAUAACUAUAAAAAAAGGGAAAGGAUACUCUAUUAUACAGUAUCCUUUCCCUUUUUUUCCCUUCUUUUAUUCUCUUUUUUUACCCAAAGUUUUCUUUUUUUUUAAGUAGUUACUAAUUAGUAGCUAUUGAUGCGUGCAUGAACUGAGUAUCCCGAUGCAAGAAAACAUAAUAAAGAAAAUACUGUAAAAAAAGCAAUAUUAUAAAAAAGCAACAACCUUGUAAAAAAAGAAAAUACUGUAGUUUAAAAAAAAAAGAAAUCGGCAAGUGUUUUUCUUUCCCUAGAAAUACUUAAUUUCUACAGCGUUAUUUUUCAUUAAUUAGCUACUAAUAAAGAAAAAGCGAAGAAACAACAUAACAACACAAUUUUAUAUUCUACUAUAAUAAUAGUAUUAUUAUUGUUGAAAAAAACGGCAACUUUGGGAAAAUUACUGUAAGUGAAAAAAUAUCGUUAGUAUAAAAAAAUGUAAGCCUGGGAUUUGAAUUUAGGAAACUUAAUUCCUGCAGCCUUAUCAAUAACUACUAAUUAAUAACAAUUUAUUAAACACAACAGCACUAUUCCAUAAUCUACUAUAGUAAUAUUAUUAUUAGUAUAAAGAAACUGAAACCCUAGGAAAAUAACAAAUAUUUUAAGUAAAAAAAAAAAAGAAAAAAAAUUGGCAUUGGAUUCGACGUCAAGUUAGCUAAUUUAUGUGACAUUAUCAGCAAGUAUUAAAAAAAAUAAUAACCACUUAAAAAAAAAGAAGAAGGAAACAAUGUGAUGGAAAGAAAACACCAAAUAUUGUUAGUACCAAAAAAAAAUAAAAAGUAAGCAUGGCAUUUGAAUUCUGGAGAGUUAAUUCCAGCAGCCUUAUCAAUAACUACUAAUUAAUAACUAUUUAUAAAAAAUUGUUAGCUAAAAAAAAAAAGAGUAGACAUGGGAUUUGAAUUUCAGAAUGCUUAAUUCCUAAGAUUGAGUAAAAGAAAGGGGAAAAAAAAGGAAAGGAAAUAUAAAAAUAGCAAUCUUGGGAUAAAAAUUAAGGAUGAUGUUAGAACCAAACCUUAUAUUAUAUUAUAAAAAUUAAGGAUGAUGUUAUCUAAUAGUGUGAUAUAUUGUUGAAACCAAAAACUUGAUAAUCCAAGAAACACAUAAUUUAGAUGAAAAUGAUAGAACUCUCAUAGAAAACAAAUACAACAAAGGAAUGAUCAAAUAAGUAAAGAGACCAAUCAAUCUUUAGGCCAUUGUUGCUGCUCUCUAUACAUUUGCGUGAGCAUUGUUUAUUUUACUUCUACCAUGAAUGACAAAGCCUUGACCGCAGAUGUGCAGAUACUUGGAGCCUGCUUCAAAAGAUAUAUUUUGGAUUUGUUACUAGGCAGAUUGUUUACCAUUAAGAUUCUAGCUCUUUUUCCAUUCGGUUUUACAACGUAUUUUUUACCAUUAUUAAGUUCAAAAAGAUUAUAAUUCCUUUUUCAUUAGAUUUUUUGACAAUUUUAUUUUUAUUAUUUUUUUUGGAUUGUUAUUGGAUCACAUAUUUCUCAUGUAUUCAUAUAUACAUAUAGUGCAUCAAGAGAUAAGUGAUGUAGCAGUAUAUCAUAAUACUUGCUUUCAUAUCAUAGUUACUAUUUUUGAAUUAACAUCAAUUUGAGUAGCAAUUGUUCUUUAACUGAGCGAAUUUAAAAAAUUGAAGCAGUUCGGGUUUUGUUAACCGCCUGUACCAGUGUGGAUUUAUCACCAUCUUUGGUGCUUCUCUUUGUGCACGCUUCCAUUGUCAUGCUUGAAGGCUGGAAACAAAGGAAAAAUGGAGACUUUAAGCAGGGAUUCUCUUUAAGAAUUGAGAAAAUAAAAGACCCACAAAAGAAAGACAACUAUAAAUCACACUUAGCAACUAUAAUCUUCUCCACGUCACAAUAUAAGAGAUUGAAAAUUCCUGGAAAGUUCUAAUAUUUUGCCAACUUCAUAAAAAUCAUAAAAGGCUUGUUGCCUAGAGAAAGGUCCUGUUUAUCAAGUGAUGCUAAAGCCAGCCAAAAUCCUUUCAAUUCAAAGAACUAUGAAACAACAUUAAAAAAAUAAAAUUUAAAAAAAUUCCAGGUUUAGAAACAUUAUUAUCAGCGGACCAGCUCAGUUAGAUUAUAACAAACGGUUUGAAUAGAUUCAUUAGGCAUCUCAAAAAACUGAUGGAAUUUCAAAAAAAGAUUCAACGGUCAAAAGGGUAAGAAGCAUCCAUUAAUCAACCUAAACAGUACAAUAAUACAAUCCCAUAAUUUACUGCAAAAAUAAAUGUUAGAGCUCUCUUGGAGCAUCUGAGAGUGACAAAUAUCAGCAAAAGGCAAUAUUAUGUUAUCUUCAGAAAAUGACAUCAAAAGUAAUCUCCAAGUAUCAUAAAUGUUCCCCAGCAUAGAAUAGACUAUUCUUGGAUGAGUUAUACUAUAAUAUACAGGUAAGACACAAGAUGCAAGUAUCUUAGGGAAGGAAUUCCAUUGACUUCUCAAGCAUGCUACUCUUACUUAUAGCAAUAUGGUAAUGCAAAUAUAGCUAUUUUAUUAGUUCCAUUUUUCUAUAUGGUUAGACAGAAUCAAUAAUCAGAGACUCAUGGCACUUAAAAACAGGAGUUGCAAACAUAUUUUUUAAGCUUGCACAGAUUUUGUUUAAUCAAUCGCAAAUUGCCAAUGGCUUAAAUGGAUGUUCAAACAUCUAGGCAUUAACGCAAGGCAAAUAUUAAAACACUAAAUAAGUAGAUCAUUUACCAUGAAUUAAUUCCCGUUACCUGCCUAAAACAACUCUAACAAUUUUAGUCCAUCCAUUGCCAAGUAUAUUCCACGCCUGCAUACGAUUUCUAAAUUUCAGAUUAUCCCAUCCAAUAAGAAAAAAUUUGACCAUCCAAAUUGAAACAAUCAGAUCAGUAAAAUUAUGCUAGUCCUUGUAAUUUAGUGAAAAUUGACAUAGGGUUGAAAGCAAUUGGUUAGCUUGUACAGUUCAGAUUCAUGAAAUAUAUAACUAAGAAGUUUUACCAAGAGAUUUAUUGCAUUUUGUACUACUAAACUGUACCAUGAAAGCCAGCCAAAAGGUACGAAGAAGGGAAGAAAAAAGCUCCAUUGACAAUAAAAAAAAACCUCUUGAAUGGCAGGAAAGAAGAGAAGAAAAGCCAUUUUGGUGGUGAACUAACUUUAAUAUAAUUUAUAUUAUAUCCUCAAAAUGUCAUCCUAUCAGAUACACAAGCCAAUCCCCUCAGAACAAAAUUAGCAAAAUUUUAAUGAAAAACUUGUACUCUAGCAAAAGAAAAAUGAAAAGGCAAAAUUUAUGCAAAGACAUGAGGAAAAGGCACUUAGAAACAAUAAUCUAAAAUAAUGGAAAUCCUUGAUGACUUACAAUGCUUUGGUCAUUUGUGGCUGGAAACCCAGCAACUAAAUACACACAAAACUAUCAAAAACAGAUCCAACAUUUAAUGGCAUAGAGAUGCAAAGCAAAUAAAGAAAUCAGGCAUUCUCCUUAAUGAAUGGAAAAGGAAGCUCAUGAAAGAGCAUCCAAGUAAUGAAUAACCAGGAAAAUCACAAUCAAAACUUGAUUAAAAAAUAUAAAAAAUCACAGUGCAUUAAAGUAAACUUUUUAUUAGUGCAUGAAAUAAAAUAUACCAUAUCUUAGAGCAUUGCAGCAAUGUUGAAGAGGAAAAAGCCCAACUUUCUCCACCUGCAAUCACAAAAAAAAAGUAAAUUUUAGAUGAGUAAAAGGGGAAGAAAACAAUGAAGAGAAAAUCAAAUAUACAAAAAAAAAAAGUUCACAAUGCAUAAGCAGCGACUUUUGAACUAUCGAUAGAUGAUAACGAUCAUGAUGUCUGCAAAACACGACACAGAAACUAUUAGACACCCAAUUUCCAAAUUGAAAGUAUCUAGGUUCUUAACCUUCCCCAUUGGAGAAAUUUAUCAAAUAACACAAUCAUCCACAAUGUUAAAACAGUUAGGCAGAUAAAAUAUUGAGAAAUUUAUCCGAAUAAUAAAAAAUAAUUGCACAGCAAAAACAUAGUGAGGCAAACAAAAGAUUAAACAGAUUACACCAAUUACUCCAACAUCGUAACUCGUUAGAUUCAGUUCCACUGCCAGCUUAACAUAAACUUUCACAUUAUCAACUGAAUUUCAGAAACAUUCAAUUGAACUUGCUCCAAUCAAUAAAGUGAAAAAUUCAUGCUUUUAAAAUUUCAAUUGCCCUGUUUCCCGUAACUACUACAUCCAACCAUCCAACCUAAGCAAAAAUUUUCAGCUUUCAACACCCAAUUUGAUGACAUCAACAAUUAGUAAUAUAGGAAACAUCUCUUUAUAGUUAUUGUAGAAAUAGCUAUGGAAUUUGAUUAAAACUUAAAUCAUAAAGAGGGAAAAUGGGAUAAGUAGGAGGCGUAGUAGUAAAAGUAAAGAUUAAAAAACCCCAAGUUUUGGAGUUUAAAAAAAAAAGGGGACAAAUCAAGGGCAAAAAAAAAUAGCACUGAUAUAAAAGACAAAGUAUUACCUCUUCAUGUGCUAAUUCCACUGUCAAAGUUUAUGAGCAGGAAGGCGGAAACACCCAAAUGGAUUUUGUGGUUCACUGGCAUAUCAUUAAUAUAACACAUCAUAAAAAAUGAAAGAUAAAGUAAUAAUACGGAUUUCUUUUUACUUCUAGCCAAAACAAACGGAAAACAUUAGACACAAAAAAAUAAAAGAAACAAAAUAAGGGUUUUCUAACAAAAAAUAAAAGAGAAAUAUUCAAUAACAAUAAAAUGGAACAAAAUAAGAAAAUUUCAACAAAAACAACCAUGCAACAGUCAGAAACUUGUGAAUGGGAAACAGGAGAUGAAUCUGAGGAAGAAGAGUACAAUGGGGAACAGAGGUCUUCUAGAAGUGCAAAAAAAAUUUUAAAAAAAUUUAAUGCAAAUCUGCAAAGAAAAAAAGAUUACCUUAUUAGUCUUGCUGCUUGAGGAAGAGGAAGAUGACAGAGGAAAAGAAAAAGAGAGAGAAUGACGAAAAAAGGAAGAAAUGAAAAGAGAACCAGAAGAGACUGAGGGGGAAGAGAGAGAUAAAAGCACAUGUUUUCCAGCACAGGGUUUCAGGUGGUUUGGAAAAUAAAAGGGAACGAAACCGGUACAAGAAUUCCAGGACCAACAAGUCAACAACCACGGUGCACGUGAUUUCCACAUGAAGAAGGACGAAAGACCAACAACAAAUUCCACCACCCAUUCCCACUUUAUAUAUAAGUUCUUUAUAGUACAAUACUACAAAGUUAAAAAAUUGCAGGCCAUACUCAAUGCUGUAUGUUGUUGAUGUGCAAGGAGGCACCAUGAACUUAACCAACCUUAAUGCUGAAGUUUAUUUCCAUCUGUCAUGUUAAUGAAGGCAGGACAGCUAUUGAUCUAUUAUUAGAAGGAGAAAAGGGAACUCUACACUUGUUUGCACCACCAAAAAACAAAUAGAAGUUGAAGUUCAGAUGGGUCAUAGUAGUUCAGUAGCAAAAUGGUACUUGAAUUCAUUUAUAAUCCUAAAUUUCAAGGCGAGUCAUAAUUCCAAUCAGGUCAAGCGGAGUUAAACAUAUGACAGGCAAAAUAACUACUUCAUACUUUAUUCAUCAAGAAUCAGCACAACACAUCAGAAUGUAUCAUUUUAGGAAUUCCAAAAUAGGGCAUUGCGUGGAUAUAUGAGCUUGGAAAAACCAACAAUAUGUUUAUUCAGUAAGAAUUGUUAGCCUAAUAUGGUCCUAUUCUCUGCACAAUAAAGGAAAACUAAGUGAGCAGAGUUGCAGAGAGUAACGGAAUUUUCCAACAAGUAUCCCUCUAUAAGGUUUAGCAACUUCAUUCUAGCUCCCUCUGCGGAAUAUUCUAGCUCGCUCUUAGGCAACAAAUUCUCAUUUCGAAAGAAAUUCUGCAUCCAGGGUAUAAAAGUUAAAAUCCCCAAAUUUAACUUCUACACAUUUGGAAAUUAGCAAUUUAGUGGAAAAUAAAAGAACUUUGUAAAUCUGUUAUGCAAGAAUUGCUCUUCUUAUCGUCAAAGCAACCAAAGCGUAAUUCCAGAGAUUAAUGAACAACGAAAGGGAAAAAAGAUUAAUGAACCUGGUAUAAGCUUGAAUUCCAGAGAGUUCGGAAUAAGCGUGUGACGGCAAAAAACUUCAGGCUUCGGUGCUUCCUUUUUACUGAUUGCAGAGACGACAAAUAGAGACGGCACUCGGCACUCGGCGCUCGGCAGGCAAGGCAAGGCAAUUGCAGAGAGAGGAAGCGGACUGAAGUGAAGAGGCAAUUUCGGCAAUUGACUACAGCAGGCAAGGCAAUUUAGGCAAUUGCAGAGAGAGGAAGCGGACUGAAGUGAAGAGGAAGACUGAAGUGAAGAUUAGGGUUCAGAGUCUUUAGACACUUUCGGUCAAAAAUGGAAAUUUUGUCAAAUUUUACUCAAAAAUUGGAAAACCACGGUUCACGGUUUGAGUCGGUUUAAUGGUUUGAACGGUUUUUUAACGAGUUUGACCGGUUCUUGAUCCAAGUCAACUUAAGUUAUGAACCGGACCGGACACAUGACCGGUUCGCGAUCGAACAGAUCGAACCGGCCAAUCUGAUCCGGGUUUAAAAACAUUGGGUACAGUCGGUUAGUUCAGAUACAUUGUUGCUCAUUGGUGCGCAUCGAUUUCCUUUGUCAAUCAUAAAAAGCAAUUGGAUUCUGACAACUGAAGUUGGUGGUGGGCCGCUAGAAUCUCCAAUGAACCAACAAGUUCCGUAGACAAAAGCUCAUGUGUCAUUUGAAUAUGACUUGAAUUAUUAUAUUUAAUUAUUAUUAUUAGUUUGCUUGUUAGUUGCUUACAUUUGAUUUAAAAGAUUACUAUUACAUCAAUAGUUUAUUACAUUUAAUUAGUGUUAAUUUAUUACAUUUGAUUAGUAUUUGAAUUAGUUUAAUUAGCAAUAAUUUAUUAAUUAAUAGUGUUAUUAGUAUUAAUUGUAUUAUAUUUUCCUGUUCAGUACAAGUACUAUUUAGUACAUGUUAUUGCAUCUUCUUGUUUAGGAUUUACAAGUAUUUAAGGUUUCUGUUGCUAUUUAGUGCAAGUAGUUACUAUUAAUUAUAUUUAAUAUCUUCUUGUUUAGGAUCGAUUGAUUGAAUGUCAUACGAGAAAUAGUACCACCACAAAGCAAUAAUACAAGUACUAUUUAGCAAAUAGUAAUAGUAACAGUAAAAGUAAACAGUACUAACAAAAAUAACAGUAGUAAAUAUUAACCAUAAAGAAAAGUCACGGUAAUAAUAAUAAUAAAGUAAAUAGUAAUAUUACAAAAAAAUGGUUAAUAAUAGAAAGGCAAAUGGUGAAUAGUAAAAGUUAAUAGUAAAAGUAAUUACUCAGUAAUAGUAAUAGUAAACAAAAAAUUGUGAUAAAUGUUUCAUUAAUAAAAAAGUAGUAAGUAGUAGUAAUUACUUAGUAAUAGUAAUACUAGGAAUAGUGAAUAAAAAAUAGUAAUAAAUAUUUCAUUAAUACUAAUUAGGAAUCAUUAAAUUAUAACAUAGUAAUAGCAUAAGUUACCGUUAAUUUUAUGUUUAAGGACAAAUUUGUGCUUGUCUAAUUAUUAUGUUACUUAUUACUAGUGAAUAAUAAUUUGUGAUUGUUUUAUUAUGGUUGUGAUUAAUUUAGUAUAGUUAAUGUAAAUUCAUGUUUGGAAUCACGUAAGCGCUUGAUUCUAAAAUAAAUAAUAUUCACAACAUUAGGUAAAAAAUGUCAACAUACCUUGCAUUGGUGAUUCAGUUUUAUUGGAGAGACAAAAUAGUGGAGACCUGAGAAUCACUUUCAUAUGAUCCACUGAGGUGCAAAACGAUAUUAGUGAAAGAUCAAAUAGAUUACUAUGGGUUGGUUGAUAGUAUACACCUACAUAAGACUAGAUCAAACUGUGCUCAAUUUGAAUCUAUGGUUUAGGAAUUUAGUAGGCCAAGUACCAUUGCGGAACUAUGCUUGGAUAUGAAGAAGACAUGGAUAUGAUGUACCAUAUGAAAAUGACAUCACCUCACAUAGCAUGUGAGAUAUACAUAGAGGUGAAGUCACAGUUCCAACAUGACCACGAUAAUGUCAAUGUUGGAAAACCUCAUUUGUCCAAGGCGAUCCCCAAGUGGAGUUAGACCAUAUGCUCCCAGCCAUCUCUUAUCGUGGUUGUAUGCUAGUAAAAUCGGAGUCCACAUCCAUGAUAGAUGAUGAUUGAAAUCGUGGAAGGGUCAUAUAAGUCGAAAGCAUGAGCGGGGCAGAAGUAACUGGGACAGUAGUUCUAGGGCAAAAUUAUCUUUAGUGCAAAUCCACCUAACUUCCUCUCUAUCGAAUAUACAGGAAAACAAGGGUGUUGAUGUAGAUCCUGACACCGAACCGGAACCUGAUGGCGAUAACUCCGGCGAUACUGAUGAUGAACAUGAUGGAGUCGGCCAACAAGAGUUCAAGCUUGGAUGCGGCUAAUGCUUUAAUCUUAGCAUGCAUGUGGUAUUUCAAUAGAUUUAAACAAGAAAAUUUGGUGAUUUCGGAAGAAAGUUAAAGAGUGUAAAUUCUGAAAAUUUUCACAGCCCUAGACCCGAAACUUGAAGCUGAGUUUUCAUAGCUUAUAGUUUUGAAUUUUGGUAUAUCUUUGAUACAUUAUUGCUUUAAAUAUGCUUUGCUUCAUAUAUCUUAGGUUGUAUGUUGAAUUUCUUAGAUUAAAAAUGAGAAACGUGUGAGAUUCAUAAGAAAAGUGGGCUGAUUCGUUUCACUGAAACUUGAAUAUAGUUUAGCUUUCUUUUCGCUAUAAUUGAUGAUUGGAAAUUAGCAUGCAAGUAGGAAUUUUCUCCUAGGUUUUAUACCAAAUAAAUAGAUAAAUAAUUGUGGUAUUUGUAACUUGUCUCAGGAGUGAGCAAGAGGGUGACCCCAAAGCCGAAGUGUGAUUUUUCACUUAGCGUAAGUGUUCCUUAUGUGCAUUUAUGAUUAAAUGUCUCUACUGGAUUAGUACUUGUUGUUUACUUGUUUGCUUGGUGAUUGUUGAAAAGUAUUGAUGGGAAUUGUUAGAUAUAUCUUAUUGAUUUGUUAAGACUUGAGUUAUCUACGGCAUUACUGUUGAUAGAUGAGUGCGUACUUUAUAACACUCGAACUAAUUGAACUUGAGAUUUCUAUGGUCUUAACUACUGGAAUAAAUGUUCAUGAUUGUAAGCAUACGUGUACUUAAUCGCAUCAGCUGGAUUGGACCCUAAAACCCAUCAUCAGUUGGCAUAUUUAAGUCAGCAAUGGGUUUGGUCGGGUAGGUUAGGAACCUUGAGUAAAUGCGAAUAUUACCUUGUAGUAUGGUGAUUAUUGAAAUGAAUAUUGAUUGAAGGAAAUUGUUUAUUGUUUUAGAGGAUAUAAGGGGUGAUUGCUGCAGUGAUAUCGUGUUGAUAUUGGUCCCUAACUUUUGGUGUUUACAAAACAAUUGGAUGAUACUAAUAUCUCUUCAAGAAAUACUUUCAGUUAUGUAGCAAAUCAGAUUCAAAGAUUAAGCACACUUGAAAGGGACAAAAUAUGCUGAAGCUAUCAGACGCUUAAAAAGACAAGAUCAGACGUCUGAUAGAAUCCUUCAAAGUCGACAAAACCAUCGGACGCUGAAUAUGUCUCCACCAGACGUCCGAUAGAAACAAGAUGAUUUCUCAAAUCUCUUUGCUUGCUAUCGGACGCACAAAGAGCUUGCACGACGUCCGAUAGAAAUAAAAUGAUUCUUCCAACUCUUUGUCUGCUAUCGAACGCAAACAUCCAACGUUCGAUGCUCCAACGGCUAGUUGAUUCUUCAACUACUUUCUAUCCGUUGGAAAUAUUAAUGAGGCACUUUUUUGUCCUAUAUAAAUAGUGGUUGGUCAGAUAUUUUAAAUAACUUUUACACAUAGAACAUACAAAAGAUUUAGAGUAGGUUUAGUGAGAAAACACUCUCCAAAGAAGAUUUGUAGUCUUAAUGGUGUGAGGUUCAUUGUAAGUUUUUCAUUUGUGAGUGAAUACUUCAUGAGUAUAGCUCUGUGAGGGUUGUCCUGAGGGAUAGUAAAACUUCCUAACUUGACCGAGUGGAGAUCGGGGCAAGGAGGAAGUGAACCUUUCUUUGUACAUAAGAGUGAUUGUAAUUCAUCAAUUUGAAGAAGUUUGUUCUAUAAAUUGAUCUACAAGCUCAAGAGGAGUUGGGUAGUCUGUGAUACCCCGAAUAUUAGGAGGUUGUUUGUAAAGAAAACACUAAAGUGUACUUCUUUGGGUUUGAUUUAAAACCUUAUUUCAUUUUAAAAGAUUAGAAACCCUAAUAUUUUAAUCAAAAAUCCUAAUUUACUUGUGACUAACCGGUUUUCUUAAACCCUAAUUUUAAUCACUGGAAUUGUAAAAUCCCUCACGUUUCUCUUAAAAACUUCCUUUUAUUUGGAGCUUAUGAUUUUAUAAUAGCCCUACCACCCAAUCAUCUCACAAUAAGUGCAAAUGAAUAUGAAAAUAAAGAUUUUUCCCUUUUUGUUUUAAGUUAGCGCGAAUUAGGGUUUUCACGUUUUCCAUAGUGUACUUAUCCGGUACGGAACAAGGAUCAAAUUGGGUGAUUAAAAGUGAUUUUUAGGUGAGAAAUAAUAUGUGAUUAGGAUCAAUGACCUAAGGUUAGUGAAUAAGAAGUAAAAACCCUAGUACGUGUGUUUUAAAGAAAAACGGCGCGAACCGACGGGUACCGCGCACUACCGAUUGAACACACUAUUUGACCAUCAUUUCCUUACCACGUGAGCUCAUUAAUAUUUGAGCAAAAUAUCCCCCUCAUUUCCAGCUAGUCUUGACCGAAAAUGUGGACCAAAUGCAAGGAAAGGAAAGAGAAAAAAAAAAGUGGUGGUGGUGGCGCCACUUGUCGCCACCUAAAGGUUUCUUGACCAACCAAGAAUCCAACCUUCUUAUCCCCAAUUUUGUUCUUUCUUCUUCAUUAUUUCUGCUGGUUGGCCGAACAAGAGAGGGGAAAAGAGAGAGCAAAAACCCACCUUCCUUCAUCUUGAAUUUAAGCUACAAAGUGAGGAAACAAAGAAAGUAAACCGAUUAAAGUUAUCUUUGAGUGUUGGUUUAGUGAGAGGUUGGUGAAUUUUUGAAGGGGAAAGCUAGGGUUGCUCUUGGUAGACACUAAGCAAGGUAAGGAUGAUGAUUUUCUCAAUUCUUACUAUUAAUCUUGUUUAAAUUAGCUUAGCAUUUCAAAUUUGUGGUGAAUAAUGGUUGCUAUCAUGUCUUGAGUGUUGUUUUUCCUUGUGGAUACAUGAAUUAGGGUUUGAUGGAUUGCUGCCUAUACUUGAUGUAUGGUUCAUAUAUGUUGUAUCUAAGAUUAAAUAGGGGGUUUUGGUAGCAAGUGAAGCAAGAAAUGAAGAAAGUUAUCAUUGAAACCAAAAAUUCCAGAUUUCUGGAAAAAUUUCACCCUAUUCUAUCCGGUUCCAGUUCAUGUGGUUAGAGGCCGAAUUAGGUUUGGAAUAAAACAUGAAAGUUGUAGAGAAUGGUAUUUUAUAGUUUUUUACAAAAUUUCAUCUCAAUCGGAGCAACGUAACCUGUGAAAAGACCAAAAUACCCUCACUGCCCUAGGUUAAAUUCCAAUGUUCCGCGUAGACAGUUCAGUCUAUUUGGCUGUGUUUAUUCACUAUAAUCUGUGUGGUUUUAGCCAUUUGCCAAAAUAUGAAAGUUUUAGUACUCUAUCUUAUCUAUUCAACGCCUCCAAGAACGUCUUAAACGGACCUUGGUAGCCUGAGAUAUGGCCAUUUGAAGGCAGUACGGUUAAAUAGCCGAAUAGUUGGAAUUAGGUUAUGUGAAUUGGGAAUUUGAUUAGGUUACACUGGAAAUUAGACUAAGUGCUUUCCAUGAAAAUUAUAGGCCUUCGUCUUAGCUUCGAAAUGGUAUAAGUUUCACCUCGAUCCGAUAAGCGUAGCCUUGGAUGUGCCCAUUUCGCAAAAAUUCGUCAAAACUGUCUUUUUUAAACGUCGUUUCCACACUCGUUAUUAGCUUGAUUUCUUGUUCUUGUAUUGUUUUGAGCCUAUUGAAUGGAUAUUGAAAUGAAAUUGUGUUAUGGGUAACCUUGGGUUUGGUUGAGUAAAAGAAUGAAGCCAUAAAUGACUGAAAAAUUAGGUAAAUACAAAGGGCGUGCUGCCCAAAUUUACGCUCGAGGACUAUAGAAAUACACUUGCGACUUGGGUAGAGUUGAUAUGAAUAUCACUUGAACCAUCUAGGGUACUUGAGUCUUCUUGUUCCGAGGUAUAUAAGUAAGGAUUUGGCCGAACUUGUACCCUUGAGAAAUGAAAUAAUGAUUGUUCGGAAUAUGUUUUCCUUGUACUUUCAACUCGUAUGGCAUUUUCAAGUAUAGAUGCUACAAAGUUUUAUCGUUUAAAAAGCGAGCAAGUGAAUUUCAAUUUCUUGAUUUUUAUUGAACGAAACGUCUAAGUUUCGAAUCUUAGUCGAUUUUCAAAGUUCUUAAGCCAAGUUUUAUUGCAGAUUUGGACUCCAAACCCGGAGUACCACCCAGACGUGAUUACUAGAGGCACUAUAUCUUUGGUGAGUGCUUUCAAAUACCGAAUUGAACUUGAUACUUGAACUUGAUACGUGACCAAUAUGAUUACAUGUUAUAUACGUGAAUUGUUAGGGUAAGAGUGUACUUUAUCGCACUUGCCUUUAUGUGAUAUAUACUUGUUUAUGGUUGCAAUUGACUUGAUACAUUUGUUUAUGAUGUGCGCACUUCCUGGAAUUCCAGAAACCCUGUGGCGAGUUACUCUAGUUGAGCCGGCAAGGGUUUGGUCGAUUGGGUAACGAACCCUGGGUCUCUUGUUUUGUCGAGUGGAGUGAUAUCUUCUCGACUAAUCGGUAUACUCGAGUAUUACCACCCGUGUUUCUUGAGGAUUUUGGGCCCAGUUGGGGGUUUGAAUGGUGGACGGAGAGUCGUUUAAGUGGUGUUCUACUAGAUUGGUUACUUACUUGAAAGUUGACGGAGUGUCAACUGUUACUUGAACAAGCUUGGGAGAUGCACUGGGAUUUUGGCUCCUGAGAGUCUUCCGUAUCCUUAUACUUGAAAAUGAUUAUUGCUUAUCGGAUUGUUGUUUCUUUUGAAAACCAAAAGCACUUUACACUCGUGCAUUUGGAAAUUUGCUAGUUGAAGUGUUGGUGUUCACCUUUAUGAACUUGUUAAGCUCGCUAUCUUUUGCUACAUUGAUACGUGUACUUUUAAUAUGGUCAAUUUGUUAUUUGGAACCUCACUGGGUUUUUAGGUCAUUCCACGCUAUUUGUUUUCCUUACAGGGGGUACGAGCGAGGCGUGAGAUGUGUAAAGACUAACGUAGUCUAGUUGUUUGACUUUUGACUUUUGUCUUGUACUCGCGUUAUUCCUCGAAUAGAAUGUUUUGUAUUUGGAUUGUAUCCGCUUUGAACCAGUUUGGGUAUAUUGAGGUUUUGUACCUUGAUUUUCAUCAAUGUAAAUUAUUAGCUUGAAUUGUGGAUGUUAUUUAUGGUUCAUGGAUGUAUGCACGUGAUUCGAGUGAGUGAGUGAGUCCUGGCGAGAGUUGGGCAGGCGGUCCGCCGAACCCUUUAGUACGCCUUAGGGGGAGGUGGGGUCGUCUCAUAGUCAAUUGGUUUGCUAUUUUUUCUUUCUUAUUUAUUUAUUGUUACAUUUGUGAUCUUUAAAUUGCUUAUCUCUUCUAUUUCUCUCAAGUGAUUUUGUUCAUUCAUUGAUUGACUCAUUGUGUGAUCACUUAGAAAAGAGGAUAAAUUUUAUAUUAAGCAAAAAGGUGUCUCAUCACUUGAUUAGGUUUUUAAUCAACCUAAUUCACCCCCUCUUAGGUUGUUUUCGGGUCUUACAAUCGGUAUCAGAGCUUGGUCUCCUUGAAAUUAAACUCAAUCGAUUUAGGAGUAAAGAUGACAACCAAUAAUACUAUGUUUUUUGAAGGACAAUCUGUAAUUAGACCACCUAUGUUUAAUGGAUCAAAUUAUGUAAGUUGGAAAGAAAAAAUGAUUAUUUUUUUGCAAUCAAUUGAUAUUGAAUUGUGGUUUAUUAUUAGUGAAGGUCCAUAUGAUGCCUCUCUUAUAGAUGAAAAUACUCAUAGAUCUAAACCAAAAAUAAGAAGUGAACUGACUGCUGUGGAUAGAGCUCAUCUCACCUUAAAUGCAAAAGUUAUGAAUGUGUUAUAUUAUGCUUUAGAGUCAAAUGAAUCUAUUAGAGUCAAGGGUUGUAAGUCCACUAAAGAAAUCUGGGACAAACUUAGAGAAAUCCAUGAAGGAAGUGAGAAUGUGAGAGAACAAAAGAAAUCUAUUUUGGUUACCAAGUAUGAAUCAUUCAAGAUGGACCCUCAUGAAAACAUUGAUAAGAUGUAUUGUAGAUUCGAAAAUCUCAUUAAGGACUUAGAGGUGCUGGAAAAGGAAUACUCUCUAGGUGAGAAAAAUAGAAAAAUUUUGAAUGCCUUAUCCAAGGAUUGGGAGAGUAAAGUAACUGCCAUUGAAGAAGUUAGAGAUCUAAAUUCCUUACCUAUUGAAUCUUUUAUUAAUUCUCUAAUCUCUUAUGAGCUGAAACUUAAGUCCAAAGUGUAAGAGGAAGAGGAUGCAAAGGUAAGAAGGGGCAUUGCUCUAAAAGCAUCUCAAGAUGAAGAUGAUUCGGCUUCCUUAGAUAGGAAAGAUGUUGAAGUUGAUGAGAGUGAUCUUGCUCUCAUUACAAGAAGUUUCAAGAGAAUUUUUAACAAAAGAAAAUUUAGAAGAGGAGGAUCUUGUAAUUCAGAUUCUAAUCAAUUCAACAAUGGAAGAAACAAAGGAAAGUAUGAGAUCAACAAAAAAUAAGGUGACAAAUGCUAUGAAUGCGACCAAUUUGGACACAACAUGAGUGAGUGUCCAAUGAAGAAGAGGAAAGAUGAAAGAAAAUCAAGAUUCAAUAACUUUCAAUUCACAUGGAAUGAGUGCAACUCCGAUGGUGAAAUUGAAGAGGAAGAAAAAUCUGCUCAAUUGAUUUUUAUGGCCAUUAGAGAUUAUGAGGUAACAUCUUCUACCUCUCAAUUUGAAAGUGAUGAUGAAAUUGAUGAUGAUCUUGAAUCUUUCAUUAUAAAAUUGUAUGAUAGUUUGAAAAAAUCUUAUGCUAGAAAUAAGUAAUUAAAACAUAAAAUUUGUUUUUUUCUUUAGGACAAUGCACGUCUUUUUCAAGAAAAUAAAAAACUGAUAACUGAAAGUGAUUUCUUAAAAAGGAGUGAGACUGUUUUACACUCUGAACUUGAUAGAAAAAUAAAAUUUUGUGAAAUUAUCGAAAAUGUCAUAUGAAAAAUGAUUGUUAUGUGAGAAAAAACAUGAGAAGAGGCAUGAAAUGCAUGUGGAUAUUUAGACAUGAUGCUAACUCUAACAAGUAGGAGAUAUUGGUAAGAUUGGUGAGAUUCUUGUUCACAAUGCUUUUUUGUAAUUCUUUUUUGAAUGUUUUGAAUUGAGUUUUCCUUGAUAUUUUUGAAUAUUACUGAAUUUAUGUGAUGUCAAAAAGGGAGAGAAAAUAACAAUUCUGAUCUAAUAAUGAUUUUCUUUGUGAUAUGUUGGUACUUCUUUUGGUAUCAAGUCUCUGUGAUAUGUUGGUAUGUUGGUAAUUGCUGAAUUUUGGUAUCAUUUCUCUGUUUUUGUUUGAAAUAUUGAAUUCUCUGUUAUUAUUGCUAGAUUACGGUAUGAGAUUUUUACUCUUUUCUUAUGAUGACAAAAAGGGGGAGAAAAAUGGAUACUAUGUGUUAGGGGGAGUUAUUCUGAUUUCUGAGAUUAUAAGUUUGGUACUUAAAUAUUUUUGGAUGCAAUGAGUAAGGGGGAGCUUAUGCUCAAUCUUUUUUCUUUCUUUCAUCCAUUGUUUUGUCAUCAUAAAAACGGGGGAGAAUGUUGAUCUUGGUCCCUAACUUUUGAUAUUUACAAAACAAUUGGAUGAUGCUAAUAUCUCUUCAAGAAACACUUUCAGUUAUGUAGCAAAUCAGAUUCAAAGAUUAAGCACACUUGAAAGGGACAAAGUAUGAUGAACCUGUCGGACGCUCAAAAAAACAGAAUCGGACGUCCGAUAGAAUCCUUUAAAGUCGACGAAACCGUCGGACGCUAAAUAUGUCUCUACCGGACGUCCGAUAGAAACAAGAUGAUUUCUCAAAUCUCUUUGUUUGCUGUCGGAUGCACAAAAACCUUGCACUGGACGUCCGAUAGAAAUAAGAUGAUUCCUCCAACUCUCUGUCUGCUGUCGAACGCAAGCAUCGGACGUCCGAUAGUAUCGGACGCCCGAUAUUUCAACGGCUAGUUGACUCUUCAGUUACUUUCUAUCCAUUGGAAGCAUUAAUGAGGCACUUUUUUAUCCUAUAUAAAUAGUGGUUGGUCAAAUAUUUCAAAUAACUUUUACACAUAGAGCAUACAAAAGAUCUAGAGUAGUUUUAGUGAGAAAACACUCUCCAAAGAAGAUUUGUAGUCUUAGUGGUGUGAGAUUCAUUGUAAACUUUUCAUUUGUGAGUGAAUACUUCAUGAGUGUAGUUCUGUGAGGGUUGUCCUAAGGGAUAGUAAAACUUCCUAACUUGACCGAGUGGAGAUCGGAGCAAGGAGGAAGUGAACCUUCCUUUGUACACAAAAGUGAUUGUAAUUCAUCAAUUUGAAGAAGUUUGUUCUAUAAAUUGAUCUACAAGCUCAAGAGCAAUUGGGUAAUCAAUUGGUUUGCUAUUCUUUCCUUCUUAUUUACUUAUUGUUACGUUUGUGAUCUUUGAAUUGCUUAUCUCUUCUACUUCUCUCAAGUGAUUUUGUUCAUUCAUUGAUUGACUCAAUGUGUGAUCACUUAGAAAAGAGGGUAAAUUUUAUAUUGAGCAAAAAGGUGUCUCAUCACUUGAUUAGGUUUUUAAUCAACCUAAUUCACCCCCUCUUAGGUUGUCUUCGGGCCUUUCAUAUCGAUUUGGCUCCCAAGUGACGUUAUAUCAUUUCAUAUUGAAUAAGUUAUUAUAUUGUAAAUUAUACAAUGAUUUGUCCUGAUUUUAAUUGUUUGUUAAUAUGUUAUUAUGUUGAAACUAUGGAUUUAUGUCGUUUAUUGAUUGUUUCUUUUCUGAGAACCUCACUGGGCGUAAUGUCAACCUUUAGUUUGUUUUCCUUACGGGAUAUGAGAGCGAAAGAAGUUGAGAUUAAUGAUAGAUCGAAUCCAAAGUCUCUAUUUGGUAUUUAUUGUAGACAAACUUGUACUAUGAGAAUUAGUGGAUAAAUUCUUACUUUAAUCCUAUUGGUUUGUAUAUAAGUGUGAAUGUGAGAACCCGUAAAUUUCUUGAUUUCUAGGCCUUAUUUUAAUUAUUUGCACGCCUUUUAUGCAUUUUCUUUAUUAGGAAAAAUUUUCUAAAUAAUUUUUAUGAGUAAAUAUAGUUUUUAGAUGAUUUUUCUAAUACCGGUUAGUUUUUGAGAAAUUAAGAGCAUAUACCGGACGUGGGACCCGCUAGUGCGGAAAGUUCGAUAAAAUUCGGCCAAUUAGAUUAAGUUUGGGAUACUGGGAUUAAUUUACUAGGUACUAAGAGAUAAUUAGAGAUUGUUAUAUGGAUGAGAGUGGAGAGACAAAAGGAUAACCAUGUAUUAAUUAUAGUGACAACUGUCACUUGGAGAACUAGUCUUACUUUUGACCACUAUUCAUUACUUUACCAAAUAAAUCAAAAAUUGACCCAAAAAUCACUCAAAAUUUCAAGCUCAUGGCCGGCCCUCUCUAAGGGAAAAAGAAAAGAAAACUCUCCACUUUCUUAGCCCCAAUCUUGUUCAAUCUUCAAUUCCAACCGUUUAAUCUUGAAUUUACUCCAUAAAACCUCUUAGUUUAGUGGUAUUAAGGUUGGUUGUGAAGUGGUUUGGAGGAGCAAGGUGCUAAAUUGGGUCUUUUUUUGGGUUUGCAAGGUAUGUGACCAAGGAACCUUCCCUUUGAUCCUAUUAAUGCUCAAUUGGUACCUUUUGUGAGUUAAAGAGAUAAUUUUAGGUGUUAUUUUGUGACUUUUGGUUGAAAUUGGUGAAGUUUUAUAUUUAUUUGGGAUUUUUCUAUUUUCAUAUGAUUAAUAUUGUGUGGCCAUGGAUGAUGGUUGGGAAUGGUUUAGAAUGAAGCCUUGGUGUGUAAAUUGUAGCUAUUUGCGGAAAAUUUCCGCUUUGAACCGAAAUUUCCAGGUUAGGGUUCCAAUUUUUCACUAUUCUGCCCGGCACUGUUGGAUCUAGUUAUAGGUCGAAUUAGCCUUAGGUUAAAACAUGAAAGUUGUAGGGAAUGAUGUUUUAUAGUUGAAUGCAAAAUUUCAGCCCAAUCGGAGCAAUGUAACCUGUGAAAAGACCGAAAUACCCCUGUUGCCCUGUUUCUACCCAAACAUGCUAAUCAGCUUCUGUAAUUGGUUGUUUUGACCAGGAAUACUACUGAUUUGGUUGUCGAUAUCUUCUUAAGACUUAUAGCCUUGUGGCUUAGCUUUAAAAUGGCUUUGAAAUCACUUGAAUUGGAGUUGUAUAUGCUGAGAUAUGACUGAAUGAAUCAGGACUGCCACAGUAAACUUCGAAUUGGAAAAUCUGGGAUUGUUUUGGUAAAUUUGACCUAGAAACAUUGUAAACUGGACUGAGUGGCCUUCUUCAACAUUGUAGGCCUUCCUAUUAGCUUCGAAACGGUGUAUCUUGUACAUCCAUCCGAUAAUCGUAGUGCCGGUUGUGUCCAAUACGCUUAAUGACGUUAAAACUGUUUUUAGGUCUUAGAGCUUAACUCUCAUUUCCGGACUUUCCCUAGCUUACUUUAAUACUUAUACGUUCUAAUGGAGCCUUAUUUUUGGUAGUAUAUGGAAUUGGUUUAUGACUUGUAAUCGAGUCUUAUUGUGCUUGUUUGAAUAUUUUAGGGCGUGACGGUGAUUAAAGACGCUCUUUGGGCGGAAGUUUAUGAAAUUUCACUUGCUUGCUUGGUGAGUGUACUACUCACUUGCUUGUUACUGUGUGGCUUUGUUAUAUUUGAACUUGGAAUUUCACUGACCUCUCUUACUCUAUUGCGUUUUUGGUAACAACGCAGUCCAAAUCUGAUUACAAUAUUAUUUUCAUGUGUGAGAAGGUAUUUUUAUUCCAUGGAUGCCCCUUUGGUCCUUGUAUUGGUAGAAGAUUGAAAGAAGAAUAAAUUAUUAGAAUGAUUACUAAAGUUGAGGGGUUAUAAGUACAAAAAAAAACGGUUGUAAGCACCAGAUGUGUCAGGAAAAAUGCCGAGUUUCACAAAUUUUAAGUCAACUAGUAGGUUAUCUAUUUAACAUAAAAUAAGUAAGUAAUUAAACUAAUUAAAUAGAAGAGAGAGAGAACCAAUUAAAUGCAAGAAAGUCGUAAUAGAGGAAACGUAUACAAAACGAAUAUUAGUAUAUCACCUUUUAAAUUUUACUCACAUAAACUAAUAGACAAUUCCAUAAGCUGGUUGGUGAAUAACAGAAAUUUAAUAUCUAAUGAAGGUGAUUAAAAAAUUAUUACUGCUAGGCGCCAAUUUUUGAAAGUUAAAUUUAUGUAUUUAACAUAAAUUUAAUAUGUGAAAGUUAAAAAAAAAGAAAACGAAAUAGCGCGUAACAUACCAGCUCUAUAUGGGAAACAUUGUAUCAACAUUUUAUGGGAAACAUAAGAGCUCUUUAUGCCAUUUACCCCACUUGGCGAAUAAACACCAGCUCUUUACGCCUCUUCUCAAUUAAUGGGUUCCAGUUAGGACGGUCGUGGCAGCAUACGAGGAGUCAGUCUGGCUUCGGUAUAUGUAUCGGGCGCGACCUUUUGGUUGCCAUUUACCCCGCCCGACCUGUCUGUCAAAUCUGUGCUACCGACUUCUAGAAGCUGGUUGACGACCACAGGUACGAACUAACCCUCCUUGUUUAUCACUGUGGAACCUCCUCUGCUCUGCGAUGAACGUCCGUAAAUUGACGAUGUACGUGUAGUUCAGGACUGUUCAUGUUUCCUUGCUAUCGGUGUAUUGUUACGGUUCGGAUGAAUUAAACGUAUUGACACAUACGUUGGUCGGUUUGUAAAAAUGUUUCGGAUGACAGUUUUUUGACGAUAGAAUGUUGCGUCGUUUGCAGGAGAAGUCGCCACUUUCCCAUUUGUGUUCGUUUAUCGCUACGGUUAGUCGGAUGUCCAGAAAUUCGGGAUAUUACACCUGAUCAAUCAUUAUUGGAUUUUAUGAGGAAGUUGUUGUUGUUUGAAGUUUACUCCAUUCUUGGGGCUUUCAGGGAUUCACUCAACUGUGCCCAGUAAAAGGAGUUAACCGGUCAUGGCCAACGAACAAAAAGGGCUUUCAGGAACCUCCAUCCUCUCCCUUCCGACCGAGGUGCUUGCACGUGUCGCAUCUUCUUCAUCAACUGAUCUUUUCCGGGCAAAACUGUGGUUCGUUCUGCUAUUGAUGAUACAAACAGGAAGAGGCGAAUUCUGUUCCAUUCUGUGAUUUUCGUUUAGGUUAAUGGAUCAUUUCUCUUAUUGUGCAGCUGUAAGUUGCUUAACGAAGUUUCGGACGCAGACAUCGUUUACCAGCGGGUGUCACUCGCCAAGUUCGAACUCGUUCCGUGGCACAAAACCACAAAGUGUCGAGCUUCUUGAAGAAGUGUAGACAAUGCAAAAAUCCAGAUGCACUGUAUCGAAAAGGAGUGAUAAGCAUCGGGCCGAUAAAACUCAUUCCCUUGAAUAUUCUACCUUUUCAAUUGAAGUUGGUAAUGAACAACCCCCAGUCCUGUACAGUAUAAGUCCUGGUCAAUGUCUUUGGCAAGUUGGGUUUUGAUUAGGAACGUAAGACUCAAUAGUUAUGGGAAAAUUCGGUAAUGUUUUAAAUGGAAUAGUUGUCAACUAACAUUCCAUAAGCAUACUUGAGUUACAAAAUUUCUAGACUAAGCUCACAUCAUGUCUUUCAUUUGAACUUCAUUGUGAUUCUGGUCAGCAUACUUCACCCCCAAAAGAUUGGCUUACAACACGUUACUGCAGCUUUGGGCCCAGUAAAUAACUGUUGUCCCGUCGCCACUGUUCCACCUGCACUUUUUAACUUUUUCGUUACUAAGUUUGUAAGCAAGACUGUAAUAUCAACCUUGGCACUGCUUAGGUUGAUUUCUUUACGGACAAGCAUGGGGACUCAGCAUCGGAAUGCUUGGAAGAAGCUGCUAAUUCAGGCCAUGCCGAUGCUGCAUAUGCGUUGGGAAUAAUUUACAUCUUUGUUGGUGGGGACGAGUUAAAGCGCAAAGGUAUGAGCCUGCUGAGCGGGAUGAAGAAAUCCGGAAUUCUGAAAGGCAGAGUGAAACUUUGCCGUGACAAUUUGCGAGCGCUACUGAGGAUGAUAUGGGUCAAGAAUCCUGUGUUUGCAAACCCAACGCCCAUUUGUUGUGCCAUGACACAUGAGAGGAAAACAUCUUCAUGGCCUAUGGAUGCGGAUGACGUGGAGGAGAGUACAUGUGAAGGCUGCGCUUGCGAUGAAGAAAUUGGAGCAAUUUGUGCUGCCCUACCUUAUCGUUAGUGUGUAAGAUUGAAUGUUGAGAACUCCUUUGACUGCACAAAUUUUUCACCAUCGUGUACAAAUUAAUUUUCACCAGCUAAAUAGCUUAUCUUGGCCCUUUUAUGUUCUGUAUUUGAUCGAAUCAUUAAUGAAGUUAGUAUACGAUUUUCUAAAAAUCCAGUGCGUUAACAAAACAUUAGCACACUGAAAUACGAUUCGAUAAUGUUUUUCAGGGUCGUCGGAGGAGAUUGGGCGGUGGUCUGCAGGGCUCGUUACCCUCUAUAUUUAGCAAUGUACAUAUACACGCUCGAAGUUCCUUCAGUACAAAACCACAUACAUAUGCAAACUCAACAAAACGCCGUUGUAGACAAACGUGUAUGAAAUGUAAGAAUAAAGGAUGAUAGUUAGAAGGUAAAGAGGGAACUCCUCAGCAGUGAUCUACGUGAUGGAUACUGUACUGAAGUGAGAAGUUUACUAACUACAUACGAAAUGGUGCUAGAUUAGAUAUUGCAAAAAAAAUUACUUAUGGAGGAAAGCCAUAGAGAGCUUGUCUUUUAAGAGAAUGAGAUACUAAUUAGAAAUGCGACCAUGAUUUGAUUUAUGAAAUUAUCAAAAAAAAUUUAGAAUGAUUUUGUCAAUAUAAUUAAUUAAUUAUUAUAUAUAUUCAUAUAAUGCAUUAUAUAAUUAUGCAAAUAUAUUAUAUGGUACGAAGUAUAGUAUAUAUUUAUUAUGAUGUUUAGUUUAGUAUUAGUAUACGUAUAAGUAUUAGGAAUCAUUAUAAUUAUAUAAUAUUUUAUUACUAUAUGCACAUAUAUAUUAUAAUUAUAUGCACAUAUAAAAUACAUUUAUAAAUAUAUAUAAAUAGUAAUAUGUAAAUAUAUAUUAUAAAAAUAUUUAUAAUAUACAUUUAUAAAAAUAUUAAUUAAUUUAUAAUAUACUUUAUAGUCAUAUAAUAUAUUAGUAUAAUUAUACAAUGCAACACAUAAAUAUAUAUAAUAAAGGCUUAAUUAAAAAAAAUGCAUUCUAAAUUUUCUUUGGAUAAUUUGAUAAUCCAAAUCGUGGUCCCAGUCUGUAAAGUAGCACUUUCUCGUAAAAGACCAGCUCUAUAUGGCCUUCCUCCAUUAUAAUAACAGAGUACCCUUUUUUCCAUAAAUAAUUAUAAUUAUCCAGUAAAAUAAGAAAAAAAUUGAUUUACUUUAAUUGACCAACUCUUUAUGGCUUGUCUCCAUUAUAAGAACAGAGUACCCUUUUUUCCAUAACUAAAUUUAUUUAUCGGAUAAAGAGGAAAAAUGAACUCGCUUUUCAAUAAAAGACCAGCUCUUUAUGGCUCUCCUUUAUUAUAAGAAAAGAGUACCCAUUUUUUCGUAAACAAAUGCCCUAAUCGGAUUGAAAUGAAAAUAAACAAGUUUUUCAAUAAAACGCUAGCUUUUUGGCUAUCGUCCAUAAAUUAUCCAAUGUCUGAUUUUUCCAUAAUGUAAUUCAGGGGAGGUUUCUGAAAGUAUCCCAAAAAACAUGUUGUGUAUAUAAUAUUAAUAAAUUAUAUAAAUAGAAAAUUACAUUUGUUAUUAUGAAUAGAUUGUAAUCUGCUGCCUGUAAAUUGUCAAUUGCGCAUAAACCGCUUCGGAAUAAUCUAUCCAAUACCGAAUCGGGUUGAUUUUCGUUUGACUAAAUCGGGUUUGCCUCCCUCCACGCCCGUCCCUGCCUGAUCAAUUAUCCCACAAAAAGUUUGUCUUUCUUGAACUUCUCAUCGUUUCUCCUGUUAAGCCCAUCAAACGCCGCGGGUGUUGUGUGAACACACUGAACAGCUUCGGUUUAAACUUUCCCCCCUUCUGAAAUUUGGAACAUUUCGAACAGUUUUAGGCGGCAAGGUCCAAAUAAAUCGGAUUUAUCGCGUUCGCUUCCUCUGUUGCUCAAAGUACUCAACACUUGAAUCGCAUCCCGAAGCAAGCAUAGCCAGUAACAUGGAGGCCUGUAUGAGUCUUCCAGUGUAUGCAGGCAUGUGGGUCGACGUAGAAGCUCUCGCUGGUGAGUGUAUCGAUAUCACGGAAUAUCUUAAUGCCCAAAAUUUGUUAAAUUUGCUGGCACAUAAUGACAAGUGCUAUGCUGCGAUGGUUAGGGAAUUCUAUGCUAACUGUAGGGCAAAUAAGCAGAAGUCUGUUCUGCGUUCAAUGCUUAGGAAUGUACACAUGGAAUUGUCUACUGAGGUUUUGUGUUCAGAGUUUGGAUUGGUUGACAGUGGAUACACUGUUGACUAUAAACGGAUUAACGCAAAGAAUGUAGAUAAGGUUGUGUGUGAAGGGGUACAAUGACCUAGAAUUUCUUGGAGAGAUUAGGCAAAAUGGUGACAGAGUUAUGAACAUGGGGAAGAAAACUAAGUUUUAUGGGCCGUAUAUGAAAGUGUUGCCACGACUGUUACAUCUGAUAAUAACUCAUAACAUUUUACCCAAAGCCGGAAGUAUCACUUCCGUUAGUGCAUUAGAAAGAGUUAUAUUGUGACAUAUGUUACACAAACAACCCGUCAACAUAGGCAAUUUGAUCAUUGCAACGAUGCUCAACAGGAUUAGGAAGAUUAAGAGCAGGGAGAAUAAGAGAACACAUCUCCCUUUUGGUAUGUUGCUGACCAGGCUCUUUAGGCGCUUUAAUGUGCCAUUCUUGGCUGACCACGUUGACAAAGGAUUUUAUGCCCAAAAAAUAGAAGUAUCGUACUUCAAAAAACUGGCAUUCAAAGCUGAAGAUGGUGGUGGAUGUGGAAGAAAUCCUAUACCUCUUAUGCUGUCAUUGGUCAGACUGGGGACGCGAAUAGAAAAGUUGAAGAAAUAAAAGAGAUGGAUAAGGGGGGAAGUGUGCUGGGGUAGAGGUGAGGCCGGUUGUGGGAGAAAAGGCACACCUUGUAGAUGUUGUCUUACUAUCUGAACAAACCAGAAAAGGGGCAAGUGUAUGUGACAAUGUUAUUUUACUCCUUUUUGUUUCUUCUUCUCGAUGGCAACACAGGAGCAUAACCCAAUAUUUGUAUGACUAGGUUGUGGAUAAAGUGACACAAAUUUUACAACGGGUUGGUGCCAGCGAAGUGAAGGACUGCAGAUUUGAGGAAUUGCCAUUUCUACGAGAUGUAAGACAUGCUCUUGCGCUCUCCUGUAAUCCCCUUUAUAUAUGCUAAUACCUUUAUUGUCCAGUGUCUACCACAAGCGUCCGGCGUAGCACCUGAUGAAUUGAAAGAAGCCGUAUGCUUUCAUGUCAGACAACUCGUCCGCAGAUGUAUGUUAAAAUAUCGGUACUGUCAAUGGCUAACACUGAUCUCGCUUUCAUCUGUUUAUUGUACUCAUGUCAAUCAUUGUUCACAGCUGUGUCAAUACACUAGAUAGGCAGCAUCUCUUUGAUAUUACAAGAGAAGAACUGAGCAAGUGAUGCUUCUGGAGACAUGUCUCAGUGACAGAGUAAGUUUUUUAUGCGAUUGCACAGGCCUACCUUGUUCACUAAUCUCGCUAAAAAUAAUAACUCAAUGUUGAAUGUUUGAAUUUGUUCCAUUCUGUGAAGGUUGUGACCCAGUACCUUCACUUACUCCAGAAAGAAUAUAAGCAAUUUGUUUUCUUCAAUCCUAUGUUUUGGGUACGUAACGAAAAUUAUUGUAUGUGCUGUUGUGUCUUGCAAAUGUGGACCUAAUACUUGCUUCUCAAUCACUUCGUUGUAGCUGAAAUGCGUGUUAGACUAUCCAUGCAUAUCUCCCGCAACCAAAAAAUUCGUUGAUCAGAGCAAUGACGACUCCAUGACAAAUCCUGAAAAGGUAAACAUUAGCUAUCAUUCUCGCCUUUACAUUCUUAUACAAUAUGAGUAGCAGCUGCAUGUUAGUGGAAUUGGAUUCAGCCUAACAUGGCCUUAGCUUUUAACACAUUCAACAUUGCUUGUUGUAUGCGAUUGCAGAUUUUUUUCCCAAUCGUUUAUUCAAAUCAUUGGUUGCUCAUGAUUGCACAUGUCAAGGACAAACAAGUGUACAUUGUUGAUUCUAUAGACAAUUACAAAACCUUCUACCAAGGUUUGAUGCAAUCUAUGGUGAGUAAACUUCAAAAGCGUACCUUAGCUUCAUUUCCGAAGAAGGUAACAUAUUUCUAACAUUCGAUACUUGCUAUAUUUAUUUCCUUUUUUAGGAAUGGAUUUUGAUGAAAAUUUUCCACGAAAAUCAACCCUGGACAUUUAAUCUUGUAAAACACAAACUAAAACAGAGACAGGCGAGUUGCGGGGUUUUCACUUUGAAGUUUGCGCAAUGUUGGGCAAAGGGUGUCGGCCACAAUUUGUAAGUGCACAAAUGGACAACCCCUUGUGGCAAGCUCACUCUAUUGCGUCUGACAUUGUUUCUGAAUGUAUGUACAGCUUGAUGUUGUCAUUGCUAGAAAAUUUAUUGCCUGGGAGAUCGCUUUGGGGAAACUUGCGGACCCGUUCGCUUAUGCUGCUUGCCUGAUAGAAAAUAAACAGGCACAUGAGGCUGUAACCAGAGGAGAUUUGCAAGAUGAUGCUACUAAGGAUGUGGGGCAUCAGGAAACAGGGAACGGUACAUUAUGUCUCGCCUUUACUGUAAUUGGUUCGUUGCAUAUGAAGGCAAUAUUAAAUUUUAAAUUCUUUAGGGCUGUAGCAAAUUAUUGGUACGAAAUUAAUCAUUGUAUAAAGAAACAUAAAAAGUGUAUGUACCUCUGUGCCAAUGUAUCUCCUCGUGACCAUUGCAUUCACAAAUUGCUUUUCUACUCCAGUAUUCCAUUAUUGCAGGGCUGCUGCUCACAAAUUUGUCAUAAAUUCUCGACCACAGAACUUUGCUUUACACUUUCAAUUCCUCUUGUUUGAUUUCGCAUUAUGACAUUCAAAUUGGAUCUCACAUGCAAAAUUCAUGUGCUGAAAUGCUGUAUGCCUUCAAUUUUUCCCCAGCCGAGGUACAAGGGUGAAAACAAGCCCGCCAGAACUUGCAUCCGCCAAUGAUUCAAAGAAGAAGUUCUUAUUCUUGAUUUGAAUGGAGUGCUUCUGGGCAGUGCAUUUACAAGGAUGACCAGAAAUCGGGACUUUAAUUUCAGACCACGUUGCUUUGAAGUUUUGCAGGUCUGUCUGUCAUAUUUUGAGGUGGCUGUUUGGUCAUCAAAGCUAAGGUAUCCGCCAACCUAUAUUUGAAUUACUUCAUUAACUAGAACGUCCACAAGUUUUUCUGUUAUGUUCUGAAUUCAAGACAGUUGUGCUUUCUGCAGCCACAACAUUCAACCAGUGUUGGACAGUCUAUCCAAAAAAAUGAAUGAACGUUUGGAGCAGAGACUGUUAUUUGUUUGGGUGAGAUGUCAUUCAUAAAUUACUUCGAUUGUGUGUAGUCAGUCCAUGUGUAAGACUUCUGAUAAAUGAAAGUCGGAAACAAUCAAUAUUGCGCAGGAUCAGUCGCGGUGCACUAUGACACAAACCAGCCUUAGGGAAAAUCCAGACAAACCGGUGAUGUUUAAGGACCUGAAACAUGUGUGGGGAGAAUAUAAGUCGUACAACAACUCUAACACGAUAUUAGUCGAUGAUUCUCCGUAUAAAUCCUUCCUUAAUUCUGUAAGUGCCCAUACCCACUGAUCGUUAUGUUGUAUAUGUUCCGUAUGCACAAACAACAUGAUCAGGGCUAACUGUUUCCAUAUUACUCAUUCUUCAGCCGUACAAUGCCAUCUUCCCCACCUCUUAUACAUGUUACACUGUAGAAGACAAUUAUUUGGGUAAGACGCGGUUCGUGAUGCAUUGAAAUGUGGCUUUUGCUACGGUAAGCACAGGGUGAAAGAUUGGCCUGACACAAAACUUAUUUGCAGAUCCUGAAGGAGAUUUUGUACGACACCUGAAGAUUGGCCAGUGCUGAUAAUGUACAAGAUUUCAUUAAGCGAAACCGUUUUGGACAAUCACCCGUAACAGAAGGCAGUGUGGAGUGAAACUUUUAUGUUAAUGUUGUCAGCAAGCUUGGACUGCAGAACACAGCAAAGCAAGUGACGCGCAAACGGGAAGCCCCAAACAGAUAUUAUCCGGAGGUAUCCAUUGCAUUCAUGUUCAGGAAUAUGUUCACAAUAGUUCAACACCUCGUUAUGAUAGCUAAAAUUGCGUCUGGUCAUAUGCACAGACCAAGAAAAAAGGAAAAUUUGAAAGCAUGAGGAAGAUCAGUGUUCACUAUACGGAAGCUUCUCCAAACCAUUGGAGUAGAGAACCUCUCUUCUGAUGGGACACACAAGCAAAACUUUUGUGCUUUAGUGAGACACUGGGCCUGUCUAAUUCAUAUAUGUUGGUACUACUUUCUUCCCUUACUUGUGUUUUUUGUUUGCAAAGGCCCGUCGCUGAGUUUUUUUAUGCAAAUUCUAAAAAUGUCGAAGUUUGGAAUGACGUAUGUUGUCUGCAGGUUUCGGAAUGCACAUGAGGAAAAAUUAUCAGAUAAUGCCUGUAAUUGCUGUCAAAUGCAGGAUGCGUCAGCCAUAUACUCCUGCUACAAACGUUGGCAUCUUGAACUAUUUGCCCAAUUUUACUCAAAUGUUAACCUUCACCUCCUUGAGAUUCCACAUACAUAUUUAUAAAUGUAUAUUAUAUGUGCAUUUAUAUUUAUAAUAUAUAUGUGUAUGUAGUAAUAAUAUAUUAUAUAAUUAUACUUAUAUUUGUUAUUACAAAUAUACUAAUAUAUACUAAAAAUUAUACUUAUUAAUAUAUAAUAUUCUCUAUAAUUAUCAAAAAUAUUAGUACAACUAUACAAUGUAUUAUAUAAAUAUAUAUUAUAAUUAUUUAUAUAAAUAAAUUUACUAAUUCUAAAUUUUUUGGGAUAAUUUCAUAAACCAAAUCGCGGUCACUUCUGUAAUGUAUCACUUUCCAUAAAAGACCAGCUCUUUAUGACCUUCCUCCAUUAUAUUCGCAAAGCACCCAUUUUUCCAUUAAUAGAUUUAUUUAUCGAUAAAAUAUAUAAUAACUCGUUUUCCAAUAAAACCCAGCUGUUUAUGGCUUUUCUCCAAUAUAAGAACAGAGUACCCUUUUCCAUAAAAAAUUUAUUUAUCGAAUAAAAUUAAAAUAAAUCAGUUGUCUACUAAAACACCAGCUCUUUAUGGCUUUCCUCAAAAUGAGUAAACAGAGUACCCAUUUUCCCAUACGCUAAUUCAGGGGAGGUUUGUGAAAUUAUCCGUAUAAUAUAUAUGUGUAUAUAAUAUUAAUAAAUUAUAUAAUUAUAAUUAUAUAAAAUAUUAGUUAUGGGUGAAGAACGGAACAAGAGAAUUACGGGUGAAUUAUAGGUGAAGAACGGAAAAUAUUAGUUAUUGGUGAAUUAUGGGUGAAGAACGGAAGAAAGCCCAGUUUUCUGAUUUCUCAACAUGCUGGAAGUUGAGACAGUACAUGACACAGGGAGCUUUGCAGUGCAUUUACAAAUUUAUUUUAGGAUAUAGUGGGAAUAAUGAAUUCUUGUAUCGGACGACAAAAUAUAGUUAAAGGCGUUGUCGAAUACAAAUUCAUUUAUCGAAAAGCGAAAAAAUACACCCGUUGUUCAUAAAAAGGGUUUCUUCCGUUAAACUGACACAGUCCCAACGUGCAUCAAAUAGAAAUGUUUAUCGGAUGAAAUAUAGUUAAAGCGUUGUUGAAUAAAGAUCAGCUUCUUUAUGGCUUGCGACCGUGUUACACUGAGAAAGUAUCCAGGGGCCUUAAACACAGAUGUAUUUACCGGCUGAAAUGUACUUAAACCGUUGUCGAAUACAAGAGCAGCUCUUUAUGGCUUUCUCCGUUUUAAGUACGAGGUAACCAUUUUCCGUUAAACAAAUAUUCAUUUAUCGGCUACGUGUAAAUUAAACCCCUUUUCCAAUAAAACCCGGCUCUUUAUCGAUUUCCUCCACUAUCACAACAGAGUACCAAUAUCCAUACUUACUAAUUCACUUAUCGGAUAAAAAUGUAUGGCUAAUUUAUUUGUUCGAUAAAAUCGGAUCGAUAUUAUACUUGAGUGUCAUUUACCCUUUAGCAUAGAAUGCAAGCAAGAAACUAACCUAUUGCAGGUUUAAACUCCGUGUUAAGACAAAUUGUUUCGAAUACGUCAAGACACCUAAUUCAUAAACUCUCGCGAAACAUAAAUUUAAACGCGUUAAUUUUAAUUACCACAAAUCAAAUAUUUCAAUCCUUUUUCAUUUAUUUCUAAUGACUGCAUACCAUGGAGCACUGUACUAGUCAUAACCAACCACAAAUCUUCUCUUAACUCUCGACCACAUGAAGAUUGUGGUACUCGUUAUCCCAUGCCAAGGUCUCCCACACCACCGCCGCGAGUUUGCUCGGUUGAACUUUGCUUUCCUUCCUCUAAUGAAACUCAUAGAUACACACCAACCGCUUGCCUUACUAUGGCAGUUUUUUGGACUCUCUGUCUCGUCUUCUACAUUUUAGGCUACGACGACGUCCAUCCGACUAUGACAGCCCCUAUUACAUGGCCCUUUCCACAAAAUGCCGCUACUUUGUUUCUUAUCUUGCCACCUUCAUCCAACCUCAACUUUAUUCAUCUCCAACCUCCUGUGCGUGUUCGCUUUCCGCAUAAUUUGAUGACGGACAACGUUGGCAUCAUCCAGAACCAAAGACAGUGCUAUUUUUGCGCCGCUCCUGCUCCGAAUUGUACUGCACCGAUAAAUUUGUUACUAUCUCCAUCGUUCGCAACCAAUGCAAGCAACACACUUACUGUUAAAGCACACGACGCCAUUCCUUUUUCCUUACCUGAUUCCAUUUCCAGCUUCAAUUCCACUUGAUAACAUAUCCAUGUACUUCAGCAUGAAUAACCCACAAUCCCACCUGCAUUACAAACCAUAACCACAAAUUUAGACAACCGUUGCUGAACUAUGAAAAAACUUCCAAACCUAUGCACAUGCAACUUACGCAUUCCGUUGCUGUGGACAUGUGGCUGCAGCUUUUAUUUUGUACAGCCAAAGGCAUGACGAAUACUGCCCCUCCAAACCAUAAGUCAGCGCUGCUUCCAACCUUUCAAUCUGAGGGCCAUACAAGAAAAACAUAUGCAAUUUUAAGUUUACUGCCACCAAUUGUAAAGGUGAUGGUCGUGUUCAUGAAAUGUUUGACAAACCAACUUAGUUUACCAUGUCUCCACGGAGCUGCGCCUAUUCAUAUCCGUUUGCUCGUGUCCUCUCAUUGAAUCAUAAAUUAAUACUUCUUCGCUUCCCAUGUCCACCACACACAUAUACCAAUGCUCGUCGUGCCACAUUGGCACGAAUAUCUGAAGCAUAGCAGCGGUUAGUUAGUCAUCAUCAUGGGAAUCUGUAUCUAUUCCAUUAUGCUACAUAACAGGGCAGCUUCUCGUACCUUCUCACACUUUUUUAUAUUACCUCCUACUUUACAUUCCUGUAGAUAUGUACAGUACAGCUCGUCUGCUGAUUUGUUGAACUCCAAAAUCUCUUGCUACAACACGACAGUAAAAUAUGACAUUUUAAUAUGAAUGUACGUACUCACUCCCCCCAACUUUGGCCGAACACUUGUACCUGAAACCAAGUUGGCAUGAACCACCAUCGCAUUGACUGAUCUACAGCACGCCUUUGCUGCCUUGCUGUUUUCAUCGCACAAUAGCAAUUGAUUAUCUGCACCAAACUCAAGUCACAUCACUUCGUCCUCCAUGAAACAGUCCACAUAACACCACCCAAUUUCAAUCCCUCGAUUUACUCACAUCACAUGCCAUGGGUUUUUCAGGAAGCAAGGACCCCAUUGCAUCCCGACUUGCUGUCUGCCCCUUAAUUGACACCAGUACUUCCCUGUCAUUACAACAGGUACAUUAAUCUUUUCCCUAUGUGUAUUACGGUUUCAUAAUCUACAAACUUGAUAUCAUCAUUUUCAAUGACUCGAGUUAAAACGGCCAGAGUAGGUUGCUCUUCCUCACUAAUACAACCAGCAAUCACGGUUUCAAUGACUCAAUCGUUCCUUAGGGUCAUUGAGUUAGCCUAAGGCGGUUAUGUACUCACCAUAAGGGUCAUUGAGUUAUCAUUGUAGUUCCAUUCUCAAACUUCUGGAAUACUCAUUUUAUUCUAUAUGCAAGCAUGUUACCUACCCUUGCUUUUUAUAUAAGCAAGCAUGAUUGACAGCACACAAAUUGUAAGUUUUAUGCUCACUUGUAAACCAAUUUUAACUGCUUCCAAGAUUUUCGUUCCUAUGCCCUCUCCCCUAUGGGGAUAAUCAUACUACAUAUUUAGUCAACCUUAUAAUUGCAAAUACUUUUCUGUCCCCUUUCCCAUUGCAAUUUCAAAUAAGGAUAAAACAAAAUAGAACUGUUGAUUUAACAAAUCCAUGAUCCAGUACAUACCCUUGCGACAGCUGAGUGUCAAACAAGAACUUCAGUAUUUUUGCUCGUCCCUCACUCAAUUUUUCGCCGAUAGAUGCCAGCCUCGUUUCCUGCUACCACAAAAAUAUGUCAUCUUUCAUUGUCUAUAAUUUCCCAUACUUCAGUAAUUCUGGAACGUUGGAAUACUCACCUUUGCCAAUAAAGCAACCAUCUUCGUUUGACACUUGUUCAUCCCACUGCUAUCCAUCUGUACAUAAAACUACAAUUUAUACUUUACUUUUCUAAUGCUAGAAAUACCUUGGCACAAACCGAUGCAUACCUUUAUUCUUUUACCUUGCCUUCUGUUUUGUUUAUCUUCCCACACAGGCUUCUCCGUAUUGUCCAUCCUUAGUCUCUUUCUACUCCUCCACUUUGUAAUUUUCGAUGCACUCUUUUCACCCAUUACAGUACUAUUCGUAGUGACUCUAUCAUUUUCACUCCUGCUUUUGGACCUAACAUCUGGCGUUGUAGGACUAAAUUUAUGUAACUCACUCCCUCUUUUAACAUUACGCGCCAAUCGUCCUUCUGCCCACCCUCCACACCAAGUGCCCGGUUUGUUUUGCACACCCUUCCACUUUCAUACAUGCUCCUCAGCCUUUCAAAACGACAUUCAAUCAUUGCUUCCAUUCUACCAAUACUAUCCUUCACAUCUUUAUUACCACAUUCAAUUUCAAUCAGUUUCUUCAAUGUCUUCUCUACAGCUUAUGUUAUUGUAAAACUGCACAUUGCCCUGUCACUACAAGCCUUCAGUUUUGUACUACUAGUAACGUCACAAAAUGCAGAUUGCAAUUUCAACAACAAUUCACACGAAAGGAUUUUACAUUACCUGUUCCCCCUCAAAUAUGUGAUUCCUCCUCAAUAUUCGCACGCUUUCAUUAAUCUCGUACCUUCCCCAAAAUCUUAGCCUCGGCCCUCUCGGCUGGAACUUGCGAAACUCGUCCUCACCCUCGAUAUAGAAUCGUUCCAGAUAGUAAAUCUGCAGGGACAAAAACGCCUACCAUCAUUUACGGGUCUUUUCUAUCAAAGUUUAAUUUCAUUAUUCCAGCAAUUCCUAUCUCUAAUACAAAAUGGUGCGUCUUUCUUAUACCAUCAAGAAAAGUGCACAUCCCGCUAUUCCGUUGCCGUCUCUAUCACGGAUGCUCUUCACCAAAUUGUCAAGUAUGAAUUUCGACCAGUUCAAAUUUUCAUAUUCUCCGCUGUAGCCACUACAGCCACCAGAUCCCGGCUCACUGUGUCAUCCAAACUUGGUGCUAACAACCUACCAACAACAAACAGUACGAACUUCACUUUGAAUUCUAAGCCUUCGUUAUGCAAACUACAUAUACUAUGCCUCAAUUCCUCCACUACAAUUUCACCGCUAUUUAUUCUGAUAUUCAAUUCUCUUUCCAACUCUGUAUCCAUCUCUUGCCUUCGCUUUUCGCUUUCAAUAUCUUUCCCACGGCUGCUCAAGCCAAGUACACAUUCCACAUCCUCGCUGUCACCUGUAGACAGUGCCCAUGAACGUUCAGUGUCCUCCGAUCUACAUCAAAGUUAUCCACCAGCCACUUCAACAUCUCUUCGUCAACCUCUACUCCCUUCACAUUCAAAAUUGACCCGAAUCCAAACUCUCUGACAGCCUGCCGCUGCUCAUCCGAGAUCCAAUCCACCAUAUUCUUCACAGAAUGAGUUGAGUGGCUUACCAUUGUUUCCGCCGUCCGACGAAUGGCCUUCCUUUCACUGCUGCAACUUUUAUAAUUCGAAGGUGUUCCUCUCUCAUGCAUCAGCGAUACUACCAUUGUUUCCGCGUCCGACGAAUGGCCUUCGUUUCACUGCUGCAACUUCUAUAAUUGAAGGUGUUCCACUCUCAUGCAUCAGCGAUACUACAUUUUCGCUUUCUCCUUCACUGUCCCACUGCAUAUCCGAAGCAUCUAUUUCGGCUGCCAGCUCCAUAACAAAUCCCUAUCUCUGCUAUUCCGCUUGCUCCGGUUUUGGCGCUUCUUCCUUUCUAAUACGCCUACACUGUUUAGCUUAUCCAGUAAGCUUCGCGCCUUUUUUCCCUGCCGUACUUUCGCGUACAAACCCUCACUUUUUCGAUUGCUUAAUUUCGCCCCCUCCACAUUUCACAUGCGCGGUUGGAGUCCCCUUCAACGCCCAAUACAUCUUCCGGUUGCACAUCACAAAAUCCCUUUCCACGUGCCCGGCCAACACACUUCCCCUAUCGUUUGUGGCCCGAAAUGCUUGAAUGUCUUUUCGCUUAACUUUCCACACCUCUGUUUUGACAUCUAAACAUACCGCAGCAACAUCCCAUGUUGAAUGCUUAGAGCUUUUCUUUUCUUUCCUCGUAUGUCGUUUGUAGUGAGACAGAGGGUCACUUCGUGUGACUUUGCUAUUUUCUCCUGAUUGGAACGGAUUGAAUUCUCAAAUAUCAAUGACAAUGGCCGCAGCUUUAUCUUCAAUUUCGUGUGGGUUUUUCGCACCAAACAUGAACUAAUCUCUCCACUCUAGUCAAAGGACAACGGAGGCUCUGGUUCGCCUAAAAAUUGUGAGAUCGAUUUAAUUUAAUCUUUUUUAUUUAUUUAUUGGUAUUCGCAUAUCCCUUGAUUGCUAUGCUUAUGGUUAUUUAAUUAAUUGAUUGUCUUGGAUCCGGAUAAUUAAUUGAUUUGGUAACCUAUUGUCAAUUAGGGCAUUAAAUCCAUAAUUGUUUAAUUGCCCUGAAAUAAUGACAACUGGCACGACUAGAUUCGUGUCAGGGGGAUACGCGAGCUAAUUUGAAAUAACCCUGGUAGUGCGUUAUUUGGUUAGAAUAGGGCUCCUCUAAUACGUAAUGCAAUUGAAAAAUUAAAUCUUAUGGGUCUACCUAGGAUUAUUUCUUAAUUAGAGCAGUGAUUAACGGGCGUACCUUGAUCACCGACACAGUAAGGAGGGGUUGACUGUCAUCGCUUGUUUGGCAGUUAUAACCUAUUUAUCAGUAAAUAAUUGGAAUUGGUUUUGCAUCAAUGAUCAAUUAGGUGAACCAUUGCUGAAGUUAUUCCUUGGCUAGAUCCUUAGUUAUCACUCAUUAGAUUUUAGUAAAUUGUUAUUUAAUUUCUAGUUGGCUAUUUUAUUUUUAUUAUUUUACUUUUAGUUGAAUUGUUUAAAUUAUCACCCCUGAUAUAAAAACACCCCCAUUGUCACUGUGAAUUUGGAAAGGAACAAGUACUCCCAAUCCCUGUGGAUUCGACCCUACUUACCACUAUCUACAGAAAUUACUUUUAGUUUGAGCAGGUUUUAUUAUUACGCAGGCUUUGACAACCUGUCAGAAAUUUCAAGUGAAAUGAUUUUAAAACCUUUUGAAGCAUUUACAUUUGUCUACUUCUUGGAAGUUAUGGUACUCUGUAGUUUGCAAACUAAGACGCAUAUAAAAUGGACUUGCUUACGUUCGUUAUCUUCUAACUCAAAAUUUUCAGAUUCUGUGGAUAUUUCUAUACAUUUGUUAGGGACAAUCCAAUGAGAUUUCUGGUACCCGUAAUCAGCAUGAUCGCUAAAAACCAUGAAUGAAUGAGUUUUGGAGGAUCAAAUGCAACGGGUACGUGUUCGAAUUAUCUUUGUCCCUCAAUAGUUUUUUUUUUUUUUAUUAUUGGUAUAGGGAAAAGUUGGGUGGGUUCGAUACCAAUUACCAGUUAAAGUAUGCUUGUGGCAUCAUAAAACACUUGCAAGAAUUCUUACAAAUUGUUCACCAAUACACUUUUUACAUCUGUAAUAGAAUUCGUGGGUUACAAUGUGAUUCAACUUUUUGUCUCAGCCAAGCAGUUGCUUGACACAGCCAUCCUUGGUAAAUUUGGUUUAAAAAGUUGACAUUAAAAAAAAAAAAUUGGUAUCCAAUUUUCUUUUAAAUUGUCUGAAUUUUGACAUUGUCCUUUUUUUUGCCACAACAUAACAUUUUUAUAAUUUAAUUCAUCCUAUCUAUCUAUAAGGAGAGGAAGGCUGUUUGAAUUUUGACAUUAUUCACUUUUCAUUUUUUUUUCUGUGUAUUUAUUACGUAAUGCUGAUUGUAUCCGACAAUCUACAAUACAAGUCAAGAUAACGACUUCUGAAUAAAGUUGAAUCUUUCGUUAGAAAAGAGCGACCCAAAGCAAAAUAUCUUCUUUUCUUUUCUUUUCUUUUUUUUUUUUUUUUUUUAGGAAUGCAAAGCAUCUUUCGAGAAACGAAAGCCACAAAAGUGUAAAGUCUAUCUUUAUGCAUCCUAAUGAAUCUUCAUCAUGUGUCUAGAAAAGGGCUUCAAACGCAAAUACAUAAACAAAACAAAACAAAACGCUAUGGACGGUUGGUCCGCCACGGAAGGACAGUCUAUCAAUUACCUUGGUAGACCCAAAUUUAAAAAAUCUGGCAGAAUCUAGAUCAUUGGGCAUUUAAAAAUCGAUUUACUCGUGUGAGCCAUCGCAGAGUACAAGUGUGAGCCAUUACGGAGUUGUGAGGUCAACCUUGAAAAAAUUCAUAAAGCAAACAAGGAAAGUUUUGAAAAUUAUAAGCUGGUCAUGCAUUUACACUCCCUCAAAUUUCUUGGAUUUCCUUUCUCCUUUAUAUAGUCCCUCUAACUUUCAAAGUAAUUGCAUUUAUUGCCUUCUUGAACGUGAAUUCAUUCAAAAUGAUAUUAUAUGUUAUUUAAAUCAAAUAAAGAAUCUUCAAACUUAGUAAGAAAAUUUUUGCCUUAGAUGAUAAUGUAAUGUAUAUUAAAGUAAUUGCCCCUAACCUUUGGAUCUUGAUUUCACCGUUGCCUCUGUGAAGAAUAUACUAUAUGUACACAUAUAUUGUAUAACAAAAUAUAUGUAUUUAUUAUAGAAGUACACAUAAUAUUUGUGCCGUGAGCGUUGCGAGAAAUGUGAUAGAAACAUCACCAAGUGCAAUUGCAAUAUGAGACUCUUAGAGGCACCUGGUGAAGAUCGAUCUACCUUUUGUCAAAUUUUGUUCACAAAAUGUACAAUUACCAUAAUUGUUCAAGGGUCAAAUUUGGCCAAGAAAACAAAAACUUAAUUAAGAAAUCGCACAGUUUGUUUGUAAAGAACUAUUUAAAAAUCUGUAUGCUGUCCAAUAGUGGAACCACUGCCCCAAAACUCCCGGGUGACAAUGUGAAAUCUGAAGGCACUACGCACCCAGAGCCAGAAGACGCAUAAAGAAGCCAAAUGAAGCAACAAGAUGAUACUAGUCAAUAGAAUUGCUCAAGUACAAAAGUGAAUGAGAAAACACAGGGCGAGCACUUGAACCUUAUUUUGUUCUUUUUCUUUUUCUGUUUUUUGGACAGACUGCACAUGAAAUUGGGUAAGAAUGAUAAUUAUCUUUGAAUUGACGUGUCCUAAUGUCGCUCUAUGUUACCUAAAAUCUGAACCAGAACUAAAUUUUCUGGACUUUCUGUUGAUUUAUUUAGCCCGCACGGCAUUCGGCGUCGCACUCCUCCUUGAAACAACGUUGAAUUUGGGUGUAGUGUGGGAGGAUGAUAUGAAUUUUUGCUGCGUAGCAAUUUUGGAAGUAUAUUUAUACUUUUACAUUUUCUAAGAAGGAAUAUCUUGGAAACAUUAGAAAAUAAAAGACUGUCUAUACCAGAUAAGCAUCAGCACUAAAUUGCCAAAACUUUGCAGUUUUUGUACUAAAAUCUAGAAUCCCUUUAGAAGGCAAUUGGGAAAAAAAAAAAAGAAACAUAAAUAUAACCAAUAAUAUUUUGGAAAAAACUGCUUUCAAGUUCAAGAUGAUUUUAAAUUUAAAAAGCAGAAAGACAAUGACAUUCUUAGUGGAAUGCUUACUAGUUUUCCUAUUUUUUUGGGCAAAUUAUAUUUUACCCCCCUGUGGUUUACCCUUUUUUUACAUAACCCCUAUGAUUUCAAAAACUAUACAUAAUCGCCUCAUAGUUUGGAUUAAAGUGUCAAAGUAACGGAAAUAGUCACUCGUAAUAGAACUUCUAAAAAUGUCGAAAUUACUCUUAUAAAUACAUGACACAUUUACCCCGUAUGAUUUUUAUAUUUUACCAUAUAACUCCCUUAUAGUUUAAUAAUUUACCAUAUAACCCCCUUAUGAUUUUCAAAAUAUACACAUAACCCCCCCCCCGAUUAAUACAUAAAUUUCAACUUUACAUAAGGGUAUUUUUGACAUUUUAGGUGACGCCGUUAUGAAUGAUCAUUCCCGUCACUUUGAUACUUUAUUCCAAACCAUAAGGGGAUUAUGUAUAACUUUUGAAACCAUAGGGGGUUAUGUAAAAAAAAUGCUAAAUCACAGGGGGGUAAAGUGAAAUUUGCCCUAUUUUUUUUAGUAGCUUUUGGAGUUAAAAUGGACUAAGCUAUUCAGAUGGUCCUUAUUAUCCCCCUUCUGAGAAAGGAAAAGGAAAACUAUUAGCAAGAGACGAGUCAUUAAGCAGUUAUCAUUUUGGCAUCCAAUUUGUCAUUUUCCACAUUAAUCCUCACAGAAAGCAAAUUUGAAAUUUUACCAUAUACCAUACACCUAAUCUACCAUAUAUAUACAUAUACUAACAAUUAUUGUCCUCCAUUCCAUUUAUAUAUUUUCUCUAUUUAAUCUUGCCUAUUUUCUUUCUCUAUUUAAUCUUACCUAUUUUCUUUUGUAUUUAUUUACUUUCCCUAAUUAAUCUUACAUUCCUAAAAAUAUGUUAUCUGAAAUAUAUCUUAACAAAUACCCUAUAAGUAUCCAUUAGAUAGACCUCAAAAACAGAAAAGAAAGAAAAACUAUAAUCGUUUAAGGGCAAAAUGUUGUAAUGGCUCUCAAACUAUUACAAAAUUUAACUUUUGACCAUCCAACUAUUAAUUAAUAAGUUUUAGUCCUCCAACUAAUUAAAACAUGUAAUCAUAAACCUUCCAUCAACUUAAAUCGUUAUAUUUAAUAGAAAUAGCACGAUAUGCACAAUAGUAGCGCUCAAACUAUUAUAAAGUUCAACUUUUGACCCUCCAAUUAUUAAAUUAUAAUUUUUCCCCUCUAACUAAUUAAAGUGUAUAAUCUUAAGGGAAAAUCGCCAAUUUAGUCCUUAAAGUAUUUUACUAAAGCUGAUUUGGUCCCUCAACAUUUUAUCGCACGAAUUAAGUCCCUUAACUAAAAUUCUUGUGCCAAUUAAGGACCUAUAUGGUGUUGCCAUCCAAAACACAUGUAUCUGUACAGAAACAAAUGGCGAGGCAUGGGCUUUUUUGGAAGUACACAAUAGAAUUUCUACGGGAAGCAAAGACAUAACCCAUUUCGCAUCCAAAUUGGGGGAAACCUGUGAAAUUAGGGGUUUCCAAGACUGAACCCAUUUUGCAUCCAAAUAGCGGAAGAAAUUAGGGGUUUUCCACCGAUGCAAAUUGCCAGCAAUGGAGGGAGAUUUUUGCACAUGAAACUUGAGAAAGGACUUAAGGGUUGAACAGACUAAAAAAUACAUAACAAUAAACUCAACCAUAAGGUCAUCAGCCCAAGUUUCUACAGGACUUGCAUUUCUAUGAGUAUAUCUGCCAAACAAACAUCCAACAUAAGAUUGACAUACAUGAUUGCAUAAAAGCUUAUUAAUACCUUCAACCAGCUAGAAACCAACUCAUUUUACAGGCUAAUAAGCUUUUCAAAUGAUACUUGGACUCACAAAGAUUAGAAAAAAGAUCAAGAAUCCAUGAACUCAUAGUAUUAUCACUUUUCUUCCAAGAAAUUAAUAGUACAACAUAAACUAGUAAACAAAAGGGAUAAAUUUGUACCUUACUUUAUUCGUGUAUCCAGUGUACAUCUGUACAAAGGUUUUCACCAUCAUGAGUUCCUCUAGUUUUGCCUUUUGCCCGUAAUAGAAUAUGCAGACUCCAACUAUAAACAAUGCAUGCGCUCAAGGGUGCUCGCAUUGCAGCAAAGUAAGUGACGAAAAAAGCAUCGUGGACGCAUAAAUUGGAUGGCGGACAAACCGCUAUGGCCCAAACAGCACAACAGCAGUCGGCACAACUACCUUCUCUGAAUACUUUGCCAAAUGCAACGUGGAGUGGUACUGCAUAAACAAUGUCAACAUUUAUCAAAAUCCAAAUGCCCAAAUUACUCCAGCCACCAGGAACAAGAUGUAAUUCUGGCCCCUCAAAUGCUGCAAACCAAUGGCCAACCAUCACUCCAACACAGAACAAGAGUUUUUGCCACUUGGGCAGGGUAAUAUCCCACACGGGAUCAUGCUCUCUGGGAUAAUAAUCACCAUACAACCGCUUUCGGACACUCACAUUGAAGAAAAAGAAGUAGUGGUAAACAAAGAAAAACACAAUAGGCCAUCCUUCGAGAAAACCAUUGAAAUGUGCUGGGGGUACUAAAGUGAGCCAAGUAAAUGCUGCAGUAACAAUUGAAAGCUGCUGAAAAGCAUUGGCAUUGCCGUGUAAAUGCCGGUAAAAGCAGUAAAGACCGUAAAUUGCAAGACUAAUAGCUACCAUCCAAGGCCAAAACAACCAAGUCCAGCUAAAAUAUAUCCAGAAGAAAGGGCUGAAUAGCACAUUGAUCGUCCACUUUCAGGCUGCAACUGCAAUGGAGGAAGCCAAAGACCAUUUGCAUACCUCGAAUGGGGUUAAAUUUAAAAGGGUCGAUUUUAGUGACUCGAAAGAAACGUUUCUGAGGGCUAUUAUGACUGGGUUCGGAGAGUCUGGGCUUGUUUUUACAUCAAAAUAGGGAAAAUCGCCAAUUUUUUGGAAAACCCCUAAUUUCACAGGUUUCCCCCAAUUUAGAUGCGAAAUGGGUUCUGUCUUUGCUUCCCGUAGAAAUUUUAUUGUGUACUUCCAAAAAAGACCCCUGCCUCGCCGUUUGUUUCUAUACAUAUACAUGUGUUUUGGGUGGCGACACCGUAUAGGUCCUCAACUGGCACAAGAAUUUUAGUUAAGGGACUUAAUUCGUGCGAUAAAAUGUUGAGGGACCAAAUCGACUUUAGUAAAAUAGUUUGAGGACUAAAUUGGCGAUUUUCCCUAAUCCUAAUCCUUUCAUCAACUUAAGUCAUUAUGUUGAACAAAAACACCACUACACAUGUGACGGGUGCAUAAUCGAGGGGCGUUUUCAUCUUCAUAGGAAAUGUGCUAGGCUAAAAUUGUUUUAUCCCCGUUUGACUCAUAAACUAAUUUACCAAAUCUCCAAUUGUUGAACUUGAGCAAAAUCAAUGAAAACCAAAACCCUAAAUAGAGAAAUUUCAGCAAGGAUAGGCAAUUUGAAGAAAUUGAGUUGCUUUCAUUCGGAAUUCAACUCAUUUUUCAAUGUUGUUCCAAAUUUACUAGGUUCAUGUGCUUCUCUUAAUGACAUAAAUUCGGCAUACAAUUCAUUUUUUUGGAAUAUUCCAACAACUUUUGGUCCCUUUUCAAGCUUGAACUCUCUAAAUCUUUCAAAUAAUCAAUUCUCAACUUCAUAUCACUACAUCAAACCAUUUUGAUUUGUCAAACAAUAGGUUAGUUGGGUACAUUCCAAAUUCUUUAUCAAUAAAUGUUUCUAUUCGACAUAAUGACUUAAGUUGAUGAAAGAGUUAAGGUUAUACAUUUUAAUUAGUUCAGGGGUUAAAACUUAUCAAUUAAUAAUUGGAGGAUCAAAAGUUAAAUUUUGUAAUAGUUUAAAGGCCAUCAAGGCAUUUUGCCUAUCUCCUGAACUCUGUUAGAUAUAAUGACUCAAGUUGAUGAAAAGGUUAAAAUUAUAUGUUUUAAUUAGUUUGAGGGAUAAUAAUUAGAGGGCAAAAAGUUAAAUUUUAUAAUAGUUUGAGGGCUAGCGGGACAUUUUGCCCAUAGUUUAAUGAUUUAGUAGUUUCCAUUUUGGCAACUAUUUCGUCAAUUUCAAACAUUAAUACUCAUAAAAAGCAAAUUUGAAAUUCUAUGGACUUAGAGCCUUCCAGAAUUUUGCCUACCAUACCAAUUAAUGUACUGCUGCUACAACAAUACAGCCAAAAGUAGAAGCAUCUCAAUUGAUUGAAGUACUCCGCUGAUUGCACUUCCAUCUCCAGCAGAGGAACUAGUCAACCAAUCUUCCGCUUAUGGGCUCUUCAGGAGAUAGUAGUUACAAGACCCUUCCACAAAAUGAGAAAAAACCAGUUUUAACACACACACAGUCUCAGGUGAGAAAGGAAGCUAGUGAUGAGCUAGAAAGGAUAUUGAGUAACACAGAGGUACCAUUUAUCAAGCGGGUGGUACCAGCAACAUGGAUAGAGAUCAAGCUUCUUGUUCACUUGGCUGCUCCCGCAGUCGUUGUUUACAUGAUAAACUACCUCAUGUCUAUGCUCACACAAAUCUUUUCUGGCCAUCUUGGAAAUCUUGAAUAUGCAGCUGCUUCCUUGGUAACAAUGGAGUUCAAACUUUUGCCUAUGGUCUCAUGGUACUCUUGAUCUUUCCUCACUUUAUUUAUUUAUUUGUUAAACAUUAAAAAGAUUUAUUCCAUGGUACAAUCCAAUUUCUUCUUCUUCUUCUUCUUCGUGGGACAUGAACUCCUACCGGUUACAUAAAGGAAGGAAAAAUGCCAAAGGGUACUCCCAAAUUGCAUUUUACUUGUUUAUGUACUUGUUUGCAUUUAGUGUCUAUGGUGGUGGGAAAUUUUCAAGGACCUUUUUCUUUAAAAUAAUGCAUCCAUAAAGAAAUCUUUUAUCGGUGUAUACCUGCUUUUUGGUCCAAGAAACCAAAAAUCCAAAAAUAGUAUUCCAGCUUUCCCUUGAUGAAUUUGUUGGUUCUUUGGCCUUUCUGGUGCACCAACUUUUUGCUUUUUCCUUUUACCCCUGGAAUUUGAAUGGUCUUUAUUUGGUAAUUUGUCUGAUAUUUUUGUCAUUUCUCUCAUGUUUCCUUCUUGAAGUCCAAUUGUAGUUAUAGAAAUUGUACAAUCCAUAACAUUUCUUUGUUUUUAAAACCUUACAUAGUUCAUUUUGAGACAGAGAAAGUAGAAAUUUUCCAGAUUAUAAUUCAAGUUUUGAUGAUCUGAUCCUCAUUUUUUUUUUGGGAAACAGCUGGGAAUGGGAAGUGCUGUUGAAACACUAUGUGGACAAGCAUAUGGAGCACGUAGGUACGGCAUGCUAGGCAUAUAUCUUCAAAGAUCAGCCAUCCUCCUAACUCUAACUGGAGUGUUACUUACAAUCAUAUACAUAUUUUCUAAGCCUAUUCUCUUAUUACUUGGUGAAGCACUAGACAUUGCAUCAGAAGCAGCAAUAUUCAUCUAUGGCUUAAUCCCUCAAAUAUUUGCCUAUACUGCCAACUUCCCUAUACAAAAAUUUCUCCAAGCACAGAGUAUUGUAGCCCCAAGUGCCUAUAUCUCUUUUGGAACACUAGCUUUUCAUGUCUUAUUCAGUUGGUGUACCCUGGUAUGCCGAUUUAGUGAAUUUCUUAGUGACUAAUCAAUUGCCUGCAGGGUGGCCAAAGGCUAAGAGAGACAAGUUGAAGAGUGAUGCUAAAUAUUACAUUUGGGACGACCCGUACCUUUGGAGACAAUGUUCGGAUCAAGUGCUCAAGAGGUGUGUAAGUGCAGGCGAAUUUCACUCUAUUUUAAAUUUCUGUCAUUCGUUUGCAUGUGGAGAGCAUUUUGGGCCCAAGCGAACAGCUCGCAAAGUGUUAGAGAGUGGCUUUUACUGGCCUACCCUGUUCAAAGAUGCUUAUUUAUUCUGUAAAUCCUGUGAUAGGUGUCAAAGGGUGGGAAAUAUUUUUCGUAGGGACCAAAUGCUUCAAACCCCCAUGUUGUUUGUUGAAAUUUUUGAUGUUUGGGGGAUAGAUUUUAUGGGUCCUUUUCCCUCAUCUUUUGGUUUCCUAUACAUUUUACUUGCUGUAGAUUAUGUCUCUAAAUGGGUGGAAGCCAAAACCACCCGUACUAAUGAUUCUAGAGUGGUUGCAGAGUUCUUAAAAUCUAAUAUCUUUGUCCGUUUUGGAAUGCCAAGAGCUGUAGUUAGUGAUAGAGGGACACAUUUCUGUAACAAGACUAUCACUGCCUUGUUUCGAAGAUACGGUGUACUCCAUAAGGUAUCCACACCGUAUCACCCGCAGGCAAACGGUCAGGCCGAAGUGUCAAACAGGGAAAUCAAGUCGGUCUUGGAGAAGAUGAUGCGUCCGGAUAGGAAGGAUUGGAGUUUAAAACUAGAAGACGCACUAUGGGCGUAUAGAACCGCGUAUAAGACGCCAAUUGAGAUGUCUCCGUAUAAACUUGUCUUCGGUAAGACUUGCCAUCUUCCCGUAGAAUUCGAACACAAGGUGUUUUGGGCAGUGAAGCAGUGUAACAUGGGAUUAGAUGAAGCAGGGGUCCAAAGGAAAUUGCAACUACAAGAGUUAGAGGAGAUAAGAAAUGAAGCGUAUGAGAAUGCCACGAUCUAUAAGGAAAAGAGUAAAACCUUUCAUGAUCAACGAGUUUCCAGAAAAUCUUUUGUAGUGGGGACAAAAGUCCUCUUGUAUCACUCGAGACUUAAACUUUUUCCCGAUAAGUUGCGUUCUCGUUGGAUUGGUCCAUUUGUCGUUUCUAAUGUGUUUCAUUAUGGUGCAGUGGAGAUCCAAAGUUUAAAAACGGAGAAAAAGUUCGUGGUGAAUGGCCAUCGUUUUAAACCUUAUUACGAGGGGUUCUCUAUUGAAGAAGUAGAAGUUGAACACCUCCAACAUCCACUUUAUAAUGCUUGAGCGUUUUGGCCAUGUCUAGCCAAAGACAGUAAAGAAAGACGCUACUUGGGAAGCAACCCAAGACUAUUUGUUUCAGUUUUCAUGCAUUUUUGAAGUUUUAGUUAAGUGUUAGUGUCAAUUAAUAGUUUGAUGUUUGGUUGCAGGAAAUUAGUAGUUAAGCGUGCUCACGCCAGGUGGUCACGCCUGAGGGGAAGGAAUUUUCGUUCAGGUUCUACGGACUCCAUAGCAGUUAGACGUGCCACGCCAAGUGGUCACGCCUGAUGGAAGGAAUUUUCGUUCAGGUUCUGCGGACUUCAUAGCAGUUAGACGUGCCCACGCCAGUUGGUCACGCCUGAUGGAAGGAAUUUUCAUUCAGGUUCUGCGGACUUCAUGGCAGUUGAGCGUGCCCACGCUAGGUGCUCACGCUAAAAAAAAAAAAAAAAAAAAAGGGCCAAAAGACGAAAUUGCCCUUAUUGAAAAAGAAGAAAAAAAAACCGUAGCCCUACUUCUUCUUUUCUUCCUUUUUCUUUCUUUCUUCUUCUUCUUCUUUCUUGUCUUUUUGUCCGCCGCCGCACCUCCCUUUCUCCACACGCCGCACGAUCACCGCACCGCACCUAGCCGCGCGCGACCCAGCUGCGCCGCACGACAGCACCACCAGCAGCUUCUCAGCGCGGACCACCAGCCGCAGUUCCAGCGCCUCAGCUCCACCGUGUGCGGUUCCGACGCCUCCUUCACCAGCCAAGCCCGCCUUGCUCCAGCAGCAGCCACGACCAGCAGCAACGCCGCCGCACUCGCCGCCACCUAGCCGCGCGCAGCAGGAGCCCACUGUGCGCGCAGCUUCACCAGCCACCAGCUGCCUUCGCACGGCCAGCUCGCGCGUGCAACCACCCACCGCACGCAUGGAUCAAGCCAGCUGUGCACGGUGCGCAGUCAACCGCCAAGCGCCUCGCCCAGCUCUUUUCUCUGCCCAUCGCGACUCCAGAUCGAGCAAGGCAAGGUCAGUCUGCACGCACCUGCUCGCCUACCCAGGCGUGCGCCAGACCAGCGCAGCUCUUCCCCCCUUUGCGCGCAUUCCCCUGCUCUCCAUUUCACUCACGGCCACUCACCCGCUCCGGGCGCAACCGGAGGCGCAGCAGCCAGCUAGCUCACGCGAGCCAGCCACGCGCAACAAGGGUCAACCGCGCGCCGCCUUCUUCCUCCUCUAGCGCCACCUGCGUUCUUUUUCUCUUCCACCCAUAGCAACUACCGGUUAUCCCCCAUGGUGAUUUCUUUCUUUAAUUUUUUGUCACUAAGUAGCUGAGGCCAGAUUACUAGCUUUUAUUAGCUGAUGACAGAUUUUAUUUUCGUAGCUGAGGCCAGAUUCUUUUUAGUUGCUAAUUGAGGACAGAUAUUUUGUGCUUGAUUUGGGUCCUGUGCCGUAUCUGUAGUUGAUUGUUGCUUAUUAGGUAUAUUUUGUGUUCAACCGGGGUUAUCAGGGGGAGGUUUUCACUUCGGUUGCCUGAUUAUUUCGUUUUUGAGGGGGUUUUGCUCUGUUUAUUUGAUUAAUUACUUUUUGGGUCAAAUUGGUAGUAUUUGGGAGAAUGUUGCUGUUCAUAGGCUUAAUUUAUUUUUGGGUGAGUUCAUUGCCUGCUUUUGCACGUGAUUGCGAGUGGGGAGUUGUGACUGAGAAUCAUUUACUUUGGGGCCACUUGUGACUUCUUUGGAACACCAUUUCCUUGCCUCCACCCUGCCCUCUGCAUUCAAAUGACUAAACCAAAAAAUAAGGGCAAGAGCAAACCUUCCACUUCCACCCCUCAACCUACGGUCCCCUUAGGGGGACCUGCCCCUCGACUGGGCCAGGAGGGCCCCGUACUC